GUAUUGCCUUGAUCUAACAGAAUGCCAUAAACUUGCUCAACUUCCAGACUCUAUAGGCUCCCUGGUGUCUCUACAGCGGUUGUUAUUGUCGGGAUGCCACUCGUUGAGACAAAUCUCAGACUCGAUUGGAAAGUUGACAUCAUUGAUUGAGAUGCAUUUGAAAUCUACGGCCAUUGAAGAAUUACUUGAAUCCAUUGGUUCUUUGAAGGAGCUCGAGACUCUAGAUGUCUCUUAUUGCAAAUCGUUAGCCCGCAUACCCAACUCAAUAGGCAAUUCAACAUCUCUGUCUCAUUUUGACCUAACAGGAUGCCAUAAACUGGUUCAACUUCCAGACUCUAUAAGCUCAUUCGUGUCUCUACAACAGUUGUUACUGUCGGGAUGCCACUCAUUGAGACAAAUCCCAUACUCGAUCGGAAAGUUGAUAUCAUUGACUGAGCUGCAUUUGAAAUCUACGGCCAUUGAAGAAUUACCUGAAUCCAUUGGUUCUUUGAAAGAGCUCAAGACUCUAGAUGCCUCUUUUUGUGCAUCGUUAAUCCGCAUACCCAACUCAAUAGGCAAUUCAACAUCUCUAUGUUGCCUGUCCUAAGCAAUUGUCGAAAGCUUGCUCAACUUCCAAACUCCAUAAGCUCCCUCGUGUCUCUAUCGCAAUUGCUGUGUCGGGAUGCCACUCGUUGAGACAAAUCCCAAGCUCGAUCGGAAAGUUGACAUCAUUGAUUGAGCUGCAUUUGAAAUCUACGGCCAUUGAAGAGUUGCCUGAAUCCAUUGGUUCUUUGAACAAGCUCAAGACUCUAGAUGUCUCUUAUUGCAAAUCGUUAGCCCACAUACCCAACUCAAUAGGCAAUUCAACAUCUCUGUCUCGCCUAGACCUAACAGAAUGCCAUAAACUUGCUCAACUUCCAGACUCUAUAGGCUCCUUUGUGUCUCUACAGCGGUUGUUAUUGUCGGGAUGCCACUCGUUGAGACAAAUCCCAGACUCAAUCGGAAAGUUGACAUCAUUGAUUGAGAUGCAUUUGAAAUCUACGGCCAUUGAAGAAUUACCUGAAUCCAUUGGUUCUUUGAAGGAGCUCAAGACUUUAGAUGCCUCUUAUUGUGCAUCGUUAGCCCGCAUACCCAACUCAAUAGGCAAUUCAACAUCUCUGUCUUGCCUUGACUUAACAGAAUGCCAUAAACUUGCUCAACUUCCAGACUCUAUAAGCUCCCUCGUGUCUCUACAGCGGUUGUUAUUGUCGGGAUGCCACUCGUUGAGACAAAUCCCAGACUCGAUCAGAAAGUUGACAUCAUUGAUUGAGCUGCAUUUGAAAUUUAAGGACAUUGAAAGAUUACCUAAAUCCAUUAGUUUUUUUAAGGAGCUCAGGAUUCUAGAUGGCUCUAUCAUGCAUCGUUAGCCUAUAGAUCUAUUUCAAUAAGCAAUUCAAGACCUCAUUCCCCAACUCAAUAGGCAAUUUAACAUCUCUGUCUCGGCUUGACCUAUGCUACUGUUAUAAACUUGUUCAACUUCCAGACUCUAUAGGCUCCCUCGUGUCUCUACAACAAUUGUUUUUGUCGAGAUGCUUCUCGUUGAAACAAAUCCCACACUCGAUUGGAAAGUUGACAUCAUUGAUUGAGUUGCAUUUGGAAUUUUCGGCCAUUGAAAAAUUACCUGAAUCCAUUGGUUCUUUGAAUGAGCUCAAGACUCUACAUGUCUUUUACUGCCAAUCGUUAGGUCGCAUACCUAGCUCAAUAGGCAAUUUCACAUCUAUGUCUUCCCUUAACCUAGAUGAAUGCCAUAAACUUGUUCAACUUCCAGACUCUAUAGGCUCAAUUGUGUCUCUACAACAGUUGUUAUUAUCGGGAUGCCACUCGUUGAGACAAAUCCCAGACUCGAUCGGAAAGUUGACGUCAUUGAUUGAGCUGCAUUUGAAAUCUACGGCCAUUGAAGAAUUACCUAAAUCCAUUGGUUCUUUAAAGGAGCUCAAGACUCUAGAUGUCUCUUAUUGCAAAUCGUUAGCCCGCAUACCCAACUCAAUAGGCAAUUCAACAUCUCUGUCUCACUUUGACCUAACAGAAUGCCAUAAACUUGCUCAACUUCCAGACUCUAUAGGCUCCCUGGUGUCUCUACAGCGGUUGUUAUUGUCGGGAUGCCACUCGUUGAGACAAAUCCCAGACUCGAUUGGAAAAUUGACAUCAUUGACUGAGCUGCAUUUAAAAUCUACGGCCAUUGAAGAAUUACCUAAAAGCAUUGGGAAUAUGCAAAACUUAAGGAUAUUGGACAUUAGUGGAACUCCCAUAAUAGAAUUGCUUGAUGACCCGGGAAUAUUGGCAGAACUCCAAGAGUUUAGAGCUUCGAGAUGGAAAAAUUCUGAAGGGUCACCUAGUAAUAAUGGCCAAUUGGUUUCACCUAACAAUCUUGGUUUAGACAAGCUUCAAAAACUAUCAGAAUUACGCUCUCGCGUACUAGCGCUAGGUAUAACCUACCAGAUCCCGCAAUCACUGAAUCUAUCCCAACUAAACUUUCUCAAGAAACUUACUCUUUCUAAUUGGCUUGAAUUUCUCCUACACCUUUCUAUAAAACGUUGUAGAAAAGCUGUGAAUCUUGAUUUUGUAUUUUCAAAAGUUCAACCUAUUAGUUGGGCAUUCUAUUUACUUUUUGUCUUGUGAUACAGUUCUCUUAAAGCGUCCUAAGACACCUGCAGCCAACAAUUCAGCCAUGGACUACCAAACAGCAGAUUCUAAACACGUUUUGAAGAGAUCAAGACCUUUUGGAAUCUUGGAUGAAGUACUUGUUUCAUCUUGCUUUUUCUUUAUCAUUCUUUAUUACUUAUAGGAUGGUUCUAUCUAUAAAGAGAAGUAUCUUAUUGGGUGAUCGAUUUUUUAUUAUGUAUGGGACGUUUUUCUCAACAUUCGUAACUAGAUUUGUCAGACUUGUUACAUUUACUUCUUGCUAUUUUAAGUUUUCUCUUCAUGGAAGUAGGGAUUUUCAAUUUUCCUGAAUUAUAAACUUAAGUUGGAAUAUAUUGCCCAUUAUUAUGCGAUUCUCUUUCUUAAUUAUCUUUCUUUGCAUGCCAUUGAAUGAAACCUUUUGAAAGCACUCACCCUUUAAGCUAGCUUUUGGGGUGAGAUAAGCCCAAGACCAUCCAACAAUGAUAAACUUUUAGUUUUGACGUUUCCAGAUACCCUUAACUUUCAUGAUGCACUUAAAGAAAUAAUUGAGGAUUUGAAGGAUUACAAGAAAGUCUGAUGGAGAGAAAAAGGAGCAAAAGGGCUAAGGUUGUCAAUUUAUGUUUGCUUGUCUUAAUUGUGUUUGUUAACUAUGUAAUUCAUCAUGACUUCUAUUAGACAUGUCAAACCAUUGAAUUAGACGAGAGCAUGUAAAUAUCUCUCAACCAACUGGUUAAACGUAUGGUGAGGUGUCAUAUUUUGGUUGUGUCUAUGUUUUUGUGUUUGGUAUUGUCAUGUAAACAAUCGGUGUCAAUAUUGGUAGCAUUAAGGAGGAGUGUGGACUAGGAAGGUGUUGAUUGCAUCUUCUCCCAUUACGCAGGCAUUGUUCUCGCGUAUGCUAGUAAAAUAGUGGCUCUCAUACGAGUUUUGCAUCUUUUGAGUGCCAUGGUUUUUAUCAAUUUUCUAAAGGACUAACUAGUUUUGUAAUCUUUAUGAUGUCCUAUUAGGUGAAUAAUUUGUCGGUAAACAUUCUGCCGAUCUCAUACAACUGCCCAAGCCUCAGUCAGAGUUCUUAUUCUUCAAAUGACUUGCCCAGAAAUGUAGUCAUUACCCUAAGUCAAGGUUCACUUGUUAAGAGUAUGGAUUUCCAUCCAGUGCAACAAAUUCUGCUGCUCGGUUAGCACUUCUUUCAUACUCUAUGAAGAACAUGUUCCAUGCUUUUCUUCAGUUGGAUAUACUUGUUCCUAUUGGAGGCCAUAAGUUUGUGCUUUGGUUCUUGGAAGAUUGCUUUUUGAUGUUCUUUUGACACUAGCUUCAGCUAUUUUAAACCACGGGCUAUGAUUCUUCAAAUUUUAUGCUUCAAUAAUUUUCAGUGGGAACAGAUAUGGGCAAUGUUAUGGUUUUUGAAGUAGGCAGCGGUGCGAGGAUUGCUUCGAGAAAAUUCAAGGUUUGGGAUUUGGGAACACGUUCAAUGGCGUUGCAGGUAUGGAAGUUGAAUUCUAAAUGAAAUCAUGGCAUCUUGUUUUUGGACAUGUGAUUAUGAAUUUUAAUUCUUUGUAGGCUUCUCUGGCCAAUGACUAUACAGCAUCCAUUAACCGUGUAAUGUGGAGUCCUGAUGGAAUCCUUUUUGGUAUGUACAGAUGUCACUUCUACUUGUAUAUCAACUUAAGAAAUUGGGCAAUACAUACUUGCAAAUUGAUGAAAAAACUAAAGCUCCAAGAACCAGACUUCAUUGCAAUAUUUUUGAGGAAGAAGUGUCCAUAUGUUGCUUUUACUAAUGAUUUAUGGGUUUCACUUUAGGUGUUGCUUAUUCCAAGCACAUGGUGCACAUAUAUUCAUAUCAUGGUGGUGAUGACAUAAGGAACCACCUAGAGGUUUGUUGCUAAACAAGGAGAAAAAAAUUAAGCUUCUCUGUUCUGCUGACAAUUGCCACCUACAUGUGAAUUCAACUUGAUUUUGACUCUAGCUAAUGUCUGAUACAGCUCGAGGCUCAUGUGGAAGUGUUAAUGAUCUGCUUUUCAUAUCCAAACAAACAGUUAUGUGUUGUGACCUGUGGAGAGGACAGGUUGAUCAAGGUAUAUUUUGAUUGUUUUCCUCAGCAUUAUGAUGUUUUGUUGUUUGAUCCCUUUUAACCAAGCUAGUAGUUACGUAGGUAUGGGAUGCAGUGACUGGGGCUAAACAACAGACUUUCGAGGGUCACGAAGCACCUGUAUAUUCCAUUUGUCCACACAAUAGAGAAAAUAUUCAGGUACCUGCUUAUUUCGUGUACUAACAAGGACACGCUGCAAGCAUGGCCAAUUGGCUGUACGCUUGACCAUUCAAUGGACUUUCUUUGCUAAAACUCAGUUAGGUCAAAAAAUUUGAUUCAAUUUGUAUGAGAAGUGUGAAUAUGUGUUCUAACGGACCUUGUUCAUUUCAAAGAUUUUGCAAGUCUUCCGAAUUUUGACCUAUCUUGAUUAGAAUGUGCUUGUUAAACAUGGUGACAUGGUCCAAAGAUUAAAUUGUGAAUUUGAUUAUUUCAGGCGAUGCUACUGAGCAUGGACAACUGGGUAAAGGUUUUCGCAAUAAUGACUUCCUUGUUAACAUAAGUUUAGAUGGAAAAUUGCUUUGCUUCCAUUAUUUGUUCUCCCUUAGUUUCUCCUCUAGUUUUGAUUAGUUAAAUUAAUAAUAGAUUGAUGUUUAUUGUGCCUGGGUGGAGCAGCAAUUGGCGAUGGCUUUUUAAUUUUUUUUUUUAAAUUUAUGAUUGUGUACACUUUAUUAUAAAGAUAUUUAAUGAUAUCUAUUAGGGUUUUAGGUGGAUGUGCUCUAUCUGGACAUGUUAUUGAAAUUGAUUGUAGGAUUGUUUUAUUGUGUAGCUCAUCUUCUCAAUAGCAAUAGAUGGGAAAAUUAAGGCUUGGUUUUAUGACAACAUGGGGUCAAGAGUUGACUGGGAUGCACCAGGUCACUCUUUUACCAAGAUGGCAUGCAGUGUCAAUGGAAAAAGGUUCAGACCAUCAGCAUUGCAUUUCAAGCUUGAUUUUAUCCCGUGUCAUUCUUUAUGACUGAAAUAACCUAUUUUAACAAUUUUAUUUGGCUAUAGGUUGUUCUCAUGUGGAACCAAUAAAGAAGGAGAGUCAUACUUGGUUGAAUGGAAUGAAAGUGAGGGGGCUAUCAAACGUACUUAUCAUGGACUUGGAAAGAGAUCUGAUGGGUUUGUGCAAUUUGAUAUCGCUAAAAACAGAUUUUUGGUUGCUGGAGACGAGUCCAUGGUCAAAUUUUGGGAUAUGGACAAUAACAAUAUUUUGACAAGUAUUGAUGCUGACGGUGGAUUGUCGGUAAUUCAUUAUUGUUAAUUUAAUCCAAGUGAAUAAGCUGAACCUUUCCAUUAAACUCGCUCUUUAAAUUUGCAGGCUUCACCUUGCAUUAGAUUUAACAAGGAGGGAAUUCUAUUAGCAGUCUCAACAAAUGACAAUAGUAUCAAAAUUUUAGCAAAUGUUGAUGGGAUUAGGCUGCUAAGGACAAUGGACAGUUGGCCUUUUGAUGCUCCUAGAAUCACUCUGGGACCUCUUAUGAAGGUAAGCUUUUUCAAGCUCACACUAGCUUCAUUGAGAAGAGCUCGCUAAAUGUCGUCAAUCUUGUACUGCCACCAAUGAUUGUGAUAUUUAGUUCUGGUAAUGCUACUAUUGGGGCAAACCUAGGUAAUAGAGGGGUUCCGGUGGCAAAAUUAAAAUGUUUGAUCCAAUUUCCAGUGCAUUUGAUAGAGAAGUCUAGAAAAAUCCAAAAAAUAAAAUAAAAUCUCACAGGAUUAUCUAAAGUUUUGUGUGGAAAAAUCCGUAAAAAUUAUCUAUGUAGUGUGGCGGAGACACUUGCCUUAUAAAUAUCUCUGACUCAAGCAAAUAUUUUUGCAUGUCUUAGCCGCUGAUGCAAUCUUAUGAAAAGGCUUUGGGUCGUCCAAAAGCAAACACAUUUGGGUCUCUAUUUUUAAAAUUUUUUAUUCUCAAAAACUGAUUUGAAAUGAAAAUUCAUUUGAUAAUGUAAUCUUUUUUGAACAAUUUUUUAGUUAAUAAAUAAUUUUGAAAAUAUAUAAGAAUAAUUUUUUUACAUUUCAAAAACAAAAACAAAAAUAAAAUUUUUUCUCAUUACUUGCUUUCGUCAUACGCGACCACCGUCACUCGUCAACCACUCGCCUACUCGUCGCUCUCCACCAAUUGAUAGUCACCGCCUAGAAAUUAUCUUUGCUCAAUUUCUCGUUCAUGGAUUAAAAAUAGAAAAAUUUAUUUGUGAUUAGAAAUUAUUCACAUGAAUUAAAAUAGUUAUCGUUCGUGCCCAUAAUACACCAACUAAAAUAAACCUCUCUACCUUCGUUUGUAUUAUGCAUAGUAUAAUAAAAGCCUUCCUUAUAUAUAUAUAUAUAUAUAUAUAUAUAUAUAUAUAUAUAUUCUUGUGUUCCCUUGCUGCCGCUUUCCGAAAUCCUUGUCCUAUUGUAUUACAUCAGCAGCAACUGUGACUUGCGGAGCAUUUUUUCCUCACGUCCAUCCAGUCAUAUUUUAACACAUCUCUGUGGAUUUUGAAUUAAAAAUAAAAUUCCCUGAUGAUCCAUCGGCCAUGGACCUCGGACUAGCCGGCUGCCACCCUUGAACACCACCGCUCCGGAGGCCGAGCUCCAAAUCUAGCCGAGUCGUGGCCUCCGCGCCGCACCAGAUCUAGUCCACCUUCACUUGCUUCAAGCUCGUCCAUGGCCGCCUCCGAAUCCGGUCGAGCUCGACUCUACGCCAGAUAUCGUCUGCCUUAAAAACGGUUCGAGCUCGGCGGCUCCUCCAUGACCGCCGAGAAGCCGCCGAGAUUUCGGUCACAACGUCGAGCUUCGCAGCCAUAGAAGGCCAUCACCUCCAGAUGUAGAGGCUCAAUGGCAAUGGAGGCCGAGCGUCCAGAUCUGGCCGUGGCGAAGGUCGUGACAUCACCUCGAGCUGCAGCAAUGACCGCCGUUAGAGGUCGCCUUAAGAGACGGCGUUAAAAGUUGCAGACGGCCAUGGACAGAGCGUGUAACAAGAAAGGAGACAAAAAAAAAAAUAGAAAAGAAAAGAAGCAAAGAAUGGUGGGGAACAAUAAGAAAAAGAAACAUCUUUUCCAACUUUUCAACAGCAUCAUCGGCAUGAGCCACGCCGACGACCAUGGACGGCCAGAUCUCGAGAGCCAACGGUGUCGCUGGCCAUGGCGGAGCAAGGUUCGUGUGUGAUGCCGACGGCCAUGGACGGCCAAAUUUGGAGAGCCAGCGGCGUCACUCGUCUAGGUGACGCCCAUGGCCAUGGUCGGCCAGAUCUGAAGAGCCAGCAGCGUCACCGACGCAUCAUCGGCCGUGGCAGCUCGUCCGAGGUCAAGUGGCUGGCUUUGGACGAACGAGGAAGAUGAAGCUAGAGGAAACAGUUCCACCACUCAAAGAAACUCCACAUCAAUAUUUUUUAAUUUAAUUCAAGACACGUAAUAAACUUUUUUAAGUGGAUAUCAAGGAAAAAAUGCUCGCCCCAUCAGCUGACGCGGGGCUGUGAAAUCACUUAAUAUUUUCCCCUUUCCUCACACAUCUACACACAUGGCACAUAAACUAGAAAACCAUCGGGCAGCAAUGGUAGGGAUGGUAAGUGGUAUCAUUACUGCAUUAGGUCGUUAAAUUUUUAUAAGGAGCUUUAUUUGUUGCUUAUUUUAUACUUAAAUGAUGCAAUAAUUGCAUUUGUAUGUGCAUAUUAUUGGACGUCUUUCAAUGACAACCUCUCUUUUGAGCUCUACAGAAGCCCAGAAUUGCCGAUGACUCGACAGACAAAUCACGAAAUUGGAAACUGACAGAAAUCAACGAACCAUCACAAUGCCGGUCCAUAAGGCUGCCUGAUAACUCUACAGCUACGAGGGUACAAAUGACUGCCAAAAUAGGAUUUUUCUCAUGUAAAUUUUUAAGUGGAUGUCAAGGGAAAAAUCUCGCCACAUUAGCAGUUAACACGGCGCUUUGAAACUGCCAAAUAUUUUCUCCUUUGCUUCUCGCACAUCUACACGCACUAGCAUAUAAACUAGAAAACCAUCAGGCAGCAAUGGUAGGUAUGGGAAGUGGUAUCAUUACUGCAUUAGGUAGUUAAAUGUUUUUAACCAGCUUUAUUUGUUGCUGACGCUGUUAGUUAAAUGAUGCGAUAAUUGCAUUUGUAUGUGCAUGUUUAUUGGGCGUCUUUCAAUGACAUCCUCUCAUGUGAGCUCUACAGGACAGUGAGAACAUGGCCGAUGUGAAGCUCGGAAUUGCUGAUGACUCAGGAGACAAAUUGCGAAAUUGGAAACCGACAGAAAUCAAUGAACCAUCACAAUGCCGGUCCAUAAGGCUGCCUGAUAACUCUACGGCUGCAAGGGUACAAAUGAUUGCCACAUUAGGACGUUCUUAUGCAGCAUUUCUUUUCCACAUUAAUCUCUCACGUUUCUACUAGAUAAGAACAAAUUUGAAUAGGGGUUGCAUUUAAUGCACUUGCUUUACUAGCUUUAUUCACAUGUGGUCCAAUGAUUUAUCUCUUAAACCUCGGCACUCAAAUGCAAUUAUUGCAUCAUCAUUUGGCAUUUUAUAGUUGACUGAUUGUUUCAACUACACAAAUAGGAAAGGAUAAGAUCAACAUUAAUAAAUCUAUGAUGAUGGCGUGGCAAUUGUGCUUGAGUUAUGUUGGCUGUGGAGGUCAUGAAUUUUAUAAUAACGUUGAAUAGCAAGAUGGAUGAUUCCUGAUUUAGAAUGUAAUGGUAUAUUUGCAUAACGAGACUUUUUUAGCCUUUGCUUGGAAUAUGGAUUGUUCUGUGGACUUUCAUGCAGUUACAUCUGGUAAAAGACAGAUUAUUUACGGGAUGAAUUUGGCUUUAUACAUGGCAUGCAAAGUAUAUCAUUUUGCACCACUUUGAUGCUUGUGGGGAAUGCUAAGCUCGUGAAAGCUAUUUUGACCUUGUCAAUUCCCAGAAACUGUAAGUGGAAAUUUACCUGCUGAAUGUAAAUAUACAAAACACUAGAGGCAAAAGAAUAGAUAGACAGCUAGAUGGUUUAAGUCAAGGUUCCACUUUUCUUUUGGUAACUGUUUCAACUGGGUUUAGAUGUCAUUUGUAUCAUAUGCUCUAUUCAUAUGUAAGCAUACAGUAUGCAUAUAUAAAUAUGUGUGUGUGCGCGUGCGUGCUACUAUGCUGAUAGAUAUGCAGGCAGCGUCGCCAAGUGUCUUUUUGCAUGGAUAUCUGCAUCUAUCAAUUAGUGCCCAAAUCUCUGGCAUCUUUCUUCUGCAUUUUAUUUUGACUUUCGGUAUUACAUUUGAUUGUCGCCACUGAAGCUGGUAAAACGAAACAGGUCCCAAGAUUGAGCUAUAUAAACUCGGGUCGUGCCAUUCUGGCAUUGUCAUCGAAUGCUGUACACAAGCUCUGGAAAUGGGAAGAAAGUGAUCAAAACUUAACGGGCAGGGUAAGGAAAAAAGAGGCAAAUUCUUUUGUUGUUUAGCGUAUUGUUAACUACAUUGAUUCUUCUUUUCGCAGGCUACAACUAGUGUAGUACCACAGUUAUGGCAACCUCCCGGUGGGAAUUUGAUGACCAAUGAUACAUGUGGUGCAAAUCCUGAAGAUGCAGUUCCGUGCUUUGCAGUGUUAGAGAAUGGUCCUUUUCUAAUAUCAGCAUCAGGGGGGGAGAUCUCUUCGUUCGAUAUGAGGACUUUUAAGGUGAAUAUUUUCCCUAAGAGAUGUAUACAUCCUCUUGUCAGUUUUUGUAGCACUAUCCACAAGGCACGAGAUGAUGAACUACCCCUUUGUGCUUACUAUGCCCAGUAUUUCCUCCACAUUUUUAUGGGAGCUAAAAUUAAUUGGUUCAAUCAUGUAUAAAAACGUAUUGAACUCUAAUUGUUAGGAGGUCCAUGAAAGCAAUUGCUCCGAUUUUCAUGGGGAUUAUCUGUUCAAGAGUGCAGCAUGUCCCUUUUUACUUGCUAAGCGAGAUAAGGGCUUUUCAGUGUCUUCGAUGGAAUCUUUUUGCUCUUAUUGAUUAAAGAAAACAAGCAGUGCUUUUUUAACCCGUCUAGAGAUCUAUUGGUCCAACUUGUUCUCUCCCUUUCCUAAGAAGGGAGAUGCCAUUGAGGCAAGUGCCUCUUGGCACGUGUCCCACUGUUAUUUAUAAAGUUGUUAAUAUUAUCCUACAUGCUGAUAUGCAGACGAUGAAAAAAUUUAUGCCCCCGCCACCACCGCCACCACGAAACAAUGACAUUAUUGAGAUAGGAAUGGAGGACUCCGCUAUUCAAAUUUAUAGUGCUCGAGCUGAUGAGGUGAAACCUGUUUUCAUUGUCGUUGAAAGUUAACCUUGUGAUUAUCCACAACAAAGUUACGGAUAUUGACUAUUUUACUUUCUCAGAUCCAGAGAAAACUAAAAGGACAUCGGAGAAUAAUUCAAGGCUUUGCCUUCUCAACUUACUUAAAUGUUCUCGUGUCUUCUAGUGCUGAUUCUCAGGUACUAGACCAAUGCUUUUUUACUUGCUAGUGAGACAAGGGCUUUUCUGUGUCUUUAGUAGGAUCUUUUUGCUCUUACUGAUUAAAUAAAACAAGGCAAGAGCUUUAUUCCACAUUCCAUAAAUCUAAUAUUCGAAGUUGCCUUCUCCCUUUCGCAAGAAGGGAGACGCCAUUAAGGCAAGUGCCUCAUGGCACAUAUGUCCAACUGUUACCUAUAAAGUUGUUAAUACUAUUCUUCCUGCCAAUAUGCAGACAUUGAUAACAUUUACACCCCGACCACCACCCAUAACAUUUCUGGCGUCUUUUCCUCAAUGUGUAUAUGAAGCAAUAGGAAGGGAGGACUCCUCUAUUCAAAUUCACGAUCAUCGAAUUCAAAAGGUGAGAACUAAUUUUAUUGUUGUUCAAAGUUGACCUUGUUAUUAUCCACAACGAAUAUAUGGAUAUUGACUGUUUCACUUUCUCAGUGGGUGGCAAAUCUAAAAGGACAUCAGAAAAGAAUUACAGGCCUUGCCUUCUCUAAUGUCUUAAAUGUUCUCGUGUCUUCUGGUGCUGACUCUCAGGUACAAGACCACUACCACAUCUUCCUUUCCAUGUAGACAUGCCUAUGUUUUGGGUAGAGAUAGCAAUGUAGUUUAACCUGCUCCAAAAAAUGGGUUGAUGUUCACUCUGGAUAUAUUGAUGCUUACGCCCUCAUCAUACGUCAGUACACGAGGCAUCCUUAACUAGGCAGAAUAAAUCCUUCCAGAAAACUUCUUCUUUUGUGGUGACAGAUUAAUCCCAUCCCAUUAAGUGGGAAAUAAAAAAGCUAUGUUGUCAUGUUGUUGCUUACAACUGAUGCUUGGUGUUAUUCUAAUAUAAAAUACAACGUAAAAUUUUAUUGUUGCAUUAGUCAAUCAAUGUUGAUGUUCCCUUUGAUAAUUGUCAAUUGUCGCUGCAGUUGUGUGUUUGGAACACUCGUAGAUGGAAGAAGCAGACUAGUAAGUUUCUGCGAAUGCCGAAUGGGCGAGGAGCAGCGCCUCUUGCUGAUACUCGUGUUCAAUUUCAUGUGGAUCAAAUACAUCUGCUGGUUGUUCAUCAAACACAGAUCGCCACAUGUGAAGCUCCUAAACUAGAAUGCCUCAAGCAGGUAUUGAAUAUUUUUUUUAUUAUGCACAAUCCAAUCUCUCAUCUCAUCUUGAUUGCAUAAUAAGUAUCAAUAUAUUAGAUAGUAUGAGUCGCUUCAUGCCAAAUGUGUGUUUUUUUUUCAUUCAUUGUUGAUCGCAACUAGUGGGACACUCGAGAAGCUAGCGCUCCAAUCACAGAUGCUACAUAUUCAUGCAAUGGCCACUCAAUAUAUGUGAGCUUUGAAGACGGGAGCAUCGGUGUUCUUUCUACCUCUACACUCAGAUUGAUAUGUUGUAUUAAUCCUGCGGCUUAUAUCCUUCCAAAACCUAGGUAAGUUGGUUAUUGCUGCUCACUUAACCUCAUUCCUUUAUGGAAAAUGGCAAGUCUCAUUCGCAAAGUUCCAUAGUCUCGUGAAUUAUUCAUUCCUUACUGAUGUAUUUGGCAGCUUGAGAGUAUACCCGCUAGUCAUCGUAGCACAUCCAUCAGAACCUAACCAGUUUGCGCUAGGGCUUACUGAUGGCAGCGUGUAUGUGCUUGAGCCAUUGGAAUCUGAAGGAGAGUGGGGUGGUUCUCCUGUUGAAAAUGGUGCUGGGCCUAGCACGACCUAUGGCACAACCAAUUCAGAUCAACCCCAAAGGUAGUGCAGGCCAUGUCUCUCCCUGUGAAACUUGUGAGCAUUACAAUGCUAAGCCGGCUUUCCUCCACCUUACUUGAUUCAAGUUUUGAGGGGAUGCUGCUGAGGGUAGAUUUUACUACCUCAGGGUACUUCCUUGCAACAUAGUUCGGUAUAGUUUGUCCUAAUCGACUUCUGCUCAAGUCUUGUGGUGAUAACUUGCUUUGUUAUAUUCAUUUGGGUUGACUGGAAGUGAAAGAAGAAAAACAUGAGAUUAGAGUGUAGUUUUGAAUACAACAAAUUGGAGGUAGAGAGGAUGUCCCACUUCCUACACAACCAGAAACCUAAGGACUUGAUUAUACUAGUUAGUUAACCAAUGUCUUUUUAGUACCUAAACUUAAUUAAUUUAUAAACUAAUUGUCCACACAAUUUUUGACCAUUUUAUUAACCUAUGUUACUAAAUGAUGUUCAUGUAUGAUUGCACGAUCAAUUAAAAAGUAAACAAUCACAAUCAAUGUAAUGGAAGUAAAUUAGAAGAAAGUAGACCCAGUGGAGUGUCAAGCGAAGAAUCAUAUGGCUUUGUUAUUAAGCCUCUGGGCAACAACCUGUGCUGAAUUCAAUUGAGGCCAAUUCAUCAAAAGAGUGCUCUACCUAAACCUAAAUAAAUUAAAGUUACUUAUCAAAAACCCCCUAAACUAUAUGUAUACUAACUAAAUAAACUAAGCUAAAUCUAGCAUCACAACUUAACGACCUAAUCAAGGUCUCCGUUCCUAGCAAUUUUCAAAUUUUUAUUUUUUUUUGAAUUUUUGGAAAUUAAUUCUUAUCAUUUUUUGAAAAUAGGGACCUGAGCUCCGGCUAUGAGCUGGACGCUGGUCUCACGAAUCUGGGAUAAUAACUAAUAACCACAGUUCGGGCUCUAAUGUUCAGGCCCCUCCAAUUCUAACUUCACUGAGCCCAAUUUCGAUUAUACAUAUUCUAAGCCCACUACCCAUCGUAACUACUCUAGCCCAUUUUCUCUUCCAACUUCACCUAGUCCAUCUUUAAGCCCGAUUUCUAUUAUAGGUAGAUUAAACCCUAAGCCCGCUCGAAACCCAUCUCAUUAUUAUAUUUAAAUCAAUUCUCCUCUUUUCUUACGUCUUUUCGUCAUUUUUUUUUAUAUAUUAUUUUCUUCUUCCUUCUUCCAGCCCUUUGUCCUCUUGGGCAAGUCAAGAAUCUAACCAGCCAUUUUCUCGCCGAUGAGCUCCAUAGAGACUUAACAAAAACAUAUGUGAAAUUAUAGAACGAAAACUCAAGAAAAAUCUAUGUUCUGAUUUGAUCUUGAUAACAAUGAAUUUUAAUAAGAAUUAAAUCUGAAUGCUUAUGGACUGACUUGUAGCAAGUAAUGUAUGCUAAAAUUUCUUCAGAUUGAACUAGAUUAGGAAUUAUUUCACCAAUAUAUCUUAGAGACAUUUCAUCAAACAGUAUAUGUGCACCAAAGGGAUUGAAUCUUGUCAAUAAUUGAAGUUUUUUUUUUCGUCUAAAAUCAAUGUCAGGACCAUGAAGCCAUUACAAAUCAUCAAAUUACAACCUAGAUCAUCAGUGAUUUUCACAUUAGUAACCUGAACGUGGUCCAGUCAUGCAUCUUUCCGAAACAGGGCAAGAAAGAGGGGAAUGAAAUUAUCUUCUCAAGGAGUUCUCAGUUGAGAACUAAAGGCUAAUGAACAAACUAACGGCUAGACAUAGUCUGGUUUCUGGGCAUUUAUGCGUCCGAGUAAUGCAAGUUGGACUUAAUAGAUGUGGAUGGGCCAUGGGCUUGGCUUGGACGAAUUGGAUCGAGCCCAUCGCAUUGAAUAGAUAUCCUUUUAAAUUAGUUGAUGAAUUGAAUUCCCUUCAGUUAUUAUUUUUUGUAAUCUUCAUUUUGGUUUUAUUUAUUCAUAUCUUCAAUAUAAACCGCCUAAGUUGCCGAUUUUCCUUUAAUUGUUGACUAAAAAUCAAACAUCCACGGCAGGUCCAAGACCUCAAAAUUGGUUGAAGCAAUUUCCUAAGAGUUGUUGUAAUCCUGAAGGUGCUACAAUUGAGAAAUGUUUGACAAACCCUUCACAAAAGCCGCAAUGCCCAUUUUCAUAGUCCAAGUAACUCCUAACAUUAAUUAUUCAUACUAUUUUCAAAAUAAUUCAUAUAUUUUUAGAUAGUCAUAAUAUGAAUAAUUUAUUUAGCAAUUUCUAUUAAGAGUCGAAUUGUUAAUUCGAAACUUUCAAGCAAAGAAUUAUAAAAGGAGAUUGCCAAAGGCAUUGGAAGGCAAUUUGGAAAAAGAAGUAUUUUAUAAGAGUCAUAAUAAGUCAAAAUUCAACAAAAUGUCAAUCGAAGUGCUUAAUCAUGAAAAAGAAGAAGCGAUACCAAUAUCAAAAACCAAAGAGCUGUUGGCAGAAUCAAAAUUUCCUUCUCAUCUCCUGUUGGUGUAUAAACUAUUUAUUUAGUUCCGAAAAGAAUAAAUAUAAAUUUACGUUUAUUUUGUCACAUAGUUUAACUUAAAAGUACUUUGAUUUGAUAGGUGGAACCAUCACAACUAAACUGGGUAAGGUCUCUCUUUAAUUUUUGUGGGUAUAUAUUUACAAUGUUAAUAAGUACCUGACAUUUAGAAAUGCUGUGGACAGUAGCUCUCCUUCAUCCUUACAAUGAAUGUCAAUACAACGAAAAUUAAUUAACCACAUUUAAGCCAUUCUCAAUUACUUGCAAGCAUCUGCACACAAAGUGAAACCUGCUUAUUUCCGUCUUCGACUGGGCUUCUUACUCUUUCUAGCUGGGGUCGACUGCUCCAAAGGCACUGGUAAUAGGGUUCCUCCUUUAACACCAUCUUUAUCAUUCAUCUUAUCGAGAGUUUUCUGGGCUCCAAUAUACACCUUAAGGUCUCUGAUCUGUGAAGGAUGACAAGGGACAUGCCACCGUCAACGCACACUAUGCACGCACGCGCGCAGAGUUUUCACAAUAUUAUAUACAAAUUAUUACAGUUUUAAGGCUAAAAGAAAAUACCUGUUCUUCUAAGUCAAGUAUUUGUUCAUCCUUCAACUUCAGUGACAGAGUUUUCCUGCAGAUGCACAGAAGCGUAUGUGUCCUCCAUUCAUGUCAAAUUAGAAGGGAAGACUAAAUUCCUGACAGCUUUAAUUGACUGGAAUCAUAUACUGAAAAAGUGUCGGUACAAUUGACAAUAAUGCUUAUUGAGGAAACUAGUCCACGUAACUUCAAUGAAGAUGGACAAGACGAGUAUACUUCAAAAGGCUGCAUGAAUUUUUCUAUAAAGAAAAUAUUGUAGGCAUAUUAAGGUACUUAAAAGGCAUCUACACCUAUAUUGCUUGACAUGUGAAGCUCAAAUAAGCUUUAAGUCUACCCAAUGUAUCUUCUUUUCCUUUUAUUUUCUAUUUUGUGAAAGUUGGAAAUGUCGACAUAACGCAGUAUGAACAACCAAUCGAAUUUUAAUUGGAAUUAGUAGAAUUUCAAUAUUGAACCAUAUCAAUUAAAAUUUGAAUCCUGAACCAUCACAGAUUAAUGUUCAAAUAUCUCCAGUGUGUAAAAAAGUACUUUGAAAUUGGACCACCACCAUGAAGAUUUUAACAUUGAUUUCUGUCGAUAAAGUUCAACCUCUAAAGCAGUAGCACUAUUUCUUCAGAGGAAAACAAAAUUACAGAUGGAGCAUAUAUAAACAAAAGAACAAAAUUAUGGAGAGCACCGACACAUGGAACCUUCUCCAUACGUGCUUCGCUCUCUCCUUUCUCCUUUUCCCCUCUUUGUCUCUUUCUUUCCCUCGUUAGAGUUUGUCCCAUCUUGCCACUUUUUUAAAAGGAUUCAAUAAAAAAACACCAAAAGCUUUUUCAUCUUCUUGCCACAUCCCCCAACUAAUAAUUAACCUAAACUUAAUUAUCCUUCCCAAGUAUGGUGAAAGGAAGGCAUAUUACCCAUGUGAUAAACUCUUACUCAUCAUAAAAUGACUUUCAUUCUUUUGCCAUUUGUUAUGUGUUACAAGUCACGUAUAGUUGCUAUUCACAUAUUUGAAUUAGAAACUGUAUUUCCUCUUUCUUCUUCGAACUUUAACCUUUUUUACCUCACAUCUAAAAGUCCAUUGCACGUGAACACUUCCUCUUCAUGAUACCCUUCCCACUCUUUUCUCAUCUUCUCAAAUGUCUGUUUCCACUUCCUCCCUCAUGACCAACCUCACAUGAACUAUUACUACAAUGCUGCUUUCAUUUUACUGAUUAGUUUUAUGAGACUAUGAAUGCUAUGGUAUUACUUGUCUAGAGAAAUCAGCAAUGAAAAAUACCUCUCUUCAAUUUCCUUAACCUUUCUCCGCAUCAUAUCUUGGUUCUUGAUAAGAGUUUGAUUAAGCUGCAACCACAAGGAAUGGCAUCCGUUACUGUUAUGAAUGAGUGAAAACUAUUGCAUCUGAUUGUAAUAUGAAAAUGAGGCAUGUGAAAAACAAGCAAAACAACAAUCAGCCUUGGCUUCAGGCAGCCCUCCUCUCAAACUUUAAACAAACAAAAAUCACAAAAGGUAAAACAGAGAAGACUAAAGCCUUACCUCUGCCACGGCCUUCUUUUCAUCACCAAGUUUCCCCAACUUACUAUGGAUGUCUUCAAUCUUUGAAGUCACACCUUUCUCGAUUGCUUCUAGUUUGGAAUUUUCUUUUCUACUUUUGGCUUCUAACAUGAGAGACUCAUAAUGCUAACAGAGAAAAACAAAAGAAUUAAUAGGGGAUGAUAUGUUCAAGGACUUACAAUGUAUUCUUUAAAGUCAGUCUAAGGAUGAUGGCAGUCUAUGUAACAACAAUGACAAACAUGGGUUAGAAAUGGAACACUAUCAUCAACAGUAGCAUGGGCAGUUUAUAUAUAAUCUACUGGCUUUUGUAAUUCUACUUCCGAUACAACAGGUUUUCAAUUCAGAUACUCUUCCUUCUAAGACACAUCACAAAAAGUCAAUAAUAAAAGAGUCCUGGCACCUUAGGGAAACUCAAUUCAUUUUCUACCACAGAUAUAUUAGUAAGAAAACAGAAAAGAAAAGAAGAAUACCGUAAGUUUUGCAUUUCUCUCGAGCUGAUGCAAGCCCACUAGUUCUCUUAUACUUCCUAUAUAAGCUCAUUAGACAAAUGCAGUAUGCAAAUCGACAGGUAUAAAAUGUUGUACACUACAUAAAAGCAAAUGAAGCUGAGAUUAUACAACAUGAGUGUAAUUACUUUCCUUCUCUUCACAACAAUUCUGACAAUCCCAUUGAUUUCCAAGAGUAAAAUGAGUUCACUUAAGGAAAAAAAGAGAGAGAGAGAGAGAAAAGAAAAUGGACAAACAUUUUUUGAUCUGAAAUAACUAAACUAAUGUUCUAUUAUGGUUUUCUCCUAAAAUAUGUGUACUUAAAAACCAUUACCUAAAGCAAAAGCACAAUCGAACGCAAGCUUUCACAAGUAAUGCUUAUAACCAUGGCUGAUCAGUCAAUAUAAUAAAAUGUAAAAGACUAAACAGGGAGAAUUGAAAUGGUCUUGGUAUACGCAUGCUUACUUUUCUUUGCACUUCCAGCUGACUUGAAGCUAGAUGAAUAUAGUCGGCGUGAAUCUACAAAAAAGUAAAGCUACAGUGUCAGAGUAAAUGAAGAAAGUCUGACAAUUAUAAUGGAGGCAAUAUCCACUUUGCAGGCCCAAUAAUGAACUUGUGACAUUUGGCCAACAAAAUGAACAUGUGCAGUACAAAAACAGAAACAGAAUCUUUCAUUGUCAGUUGUCAGCACCUAAAACAGUAAAAGCAUCAUGCACCUCAAAACUUCAAACAUUUCACUUAACUGAGUCCAAGCUCCAAAUCUUUGCAGGGAAAGGGGAACCAGAAAACAAAAAUAUUCAAAGCAUAAAAAUAAGAGGACACAUGAACCUACUGCUUCGAUUUUGCUGCUGAAGAGCGCCCCACUAAUUUCAGAAUCCUCGCUACAACCGCAGCUACCACAAUCUCCUUCAAGUGAUUCACAGUAUGAAUUCAUCUCCAAAAGCUUGCCGUCAGCUUUUGAUUGAUUAAGCCAGUGAACAUAAGUGUCCCCAACAUAAUCCCAAAUUUGCUGUGUUCUUAAAUCCAGAGAAUAGCAAUGUUGUGUAUUUUUCCAAUGGCUGAUUGCGUGGUUAUCUUUGUAUCUACAAAGCCAGAAAAGAAAAGCUAUGAUGAAGACAGCCUAUCCAAUCACUAAAAUUAUAGAAUGAGCGAAAAUUCCAGCACAUCAUGACUGGAUCCAUCACCUUCCACAUCCGACAAAACCACAUAUGAGACAAACCCAAAGAUUUUCCUUUGUUCCACAAAUAAAGCAGGAAGGUACCUCAUCUUGCUGUUGGCAUAGAUGGCAAACCUGGUAAAGAACAGAAACAGAAUCUUCUUCACAAUCUGUUAACAGAGGGGCAUCCCUGAUGAUGUUGCAAAAUGAAACUACAUUUCCAAUCAAGGUAAUUUCUUGCAACCAAAUCAAGAUAUGUGCUGUAAUUGACAUCUUUAGCAAUGUAAUUGGAACUUGCAAUAAAAUCAAAGGAAGACCCUUGGGACAUCACCAGCAUGGCAGACAUCAUGUUGACUUAUUUUAACCAUAAAGAUUGAUGAAUCAAGCAAAAGUUAGUAUGCACAUGUCUGUCGAUAUAUCUUCUACAUGGCACUUUUUCAACUUUUGAUAUUACAUGAGCUCAAAGGUACUUUUUUUAUACAAAUUCACAUGGACAGAGCAUAUUAGAACAUCACUUGAAAUGUAAAAUACGACCAUGAAACAUCUUAGCUUCAAGAUGGGGAAUGUUUGAGGUCAAAGAUCAGAAUUUUGACAUCAGUAUGAUCAUCCUGUACUUGUGAACACACACAUAACUUAUCAUGUAUGCUUGGCCACUGCUAUUACUUCUGUCACUCUUUGACUCACGAGAAAUUUGACAUAGGAGUGACAGGACCAUCGGAUCAAAUACACAUGAUGAGACAUUGCAAAGAUUCUUGUGUCAGAAUAUGAUAAUCAACAAAAAGUAACUCCUAGGAGCCACGCCAUUGACCUAUUCCAAAUCUCCAAAUAAAUGUCAUGAUAAUUUAAAAGAAAUCCUGAACUUAGUAAGCGCAAUAGAGUAAAGGAAAAUUCUACUUUUCAUUCAUAUACUUUCACACGACUUCUAAUCAUGUUUCCAUACUUUUAAUUUGCCUAACCAAGUCCAUCUACUUUAACAAUCUUUCUAAUCAAGUCUUUCCGACACUUAAUACAACCAAAUUCAAUUGAAGUGGCCCUUCGACGACAACAAUGUAUGAUGCCGAUAAAAUUUGCAGAUGCCCACGUGGACAUGUAUGGAAAAAUUUAGCCAAUGUAGACGACCUUGAAGUGUGACAUGGAUAAAAUAAUGGACGUCCACAUUAGAAAAAUUUUAUCCACGUCACACAAUGAAGACAUCUGGCAGUCACAUCAGCUGAAUUUGGCCUGAUUUGGUGUCAGAGAGACUUGAUUAGAAAAUUGGUAAAAGUAGAAGAACUUUAUUUAACAAAUUAACGGUACAAGGGACUUGAUUAGAAAAAAAUGUGAAAGUACAGAAUAAAAACAAUACUGCCACAACUGCUACAGCCAGUAUUAAUUAUCAAAAACCAACAAUUAAUCCACAGUCAGCAGAUUAACAGAGAGAUAGUGGCAGUAGCUUGGAAAUUACAUUAUAAAUUCAUCUAAUCCGUAUCAGCAGAAGAAUGCCUAACCUGACAAGACAAGUAAGUCCAUUUUGUACCACAUGAACAAUGAAAGGAAUGGUCACACUGCGUACUCAAAAUUCCACUGGUAUCUGGGUCCAAUCUCUGACAUUUUUUUAAAAAAAAGUUGCAACUCUGAACAACUUUUGAUAAACUCAUCUCACUGCGGAGGAAAUAUAAUCAGCAAGGGGGCACCAGCAUGGCUUACCAAGACAAACUGGACAAGAGGGUAGCUCCGUAAAGCCCGAUGGGGGUGUGCUAGCUACAUCAGCUGAUUCCGUAUAGUCCACUUCGUGCAGAUAUAGAAUAUGGCAUACCUCAGCCUGAAUGUCCAGAAGACGAGUAUUAAAAGUGAAACAGAAAUCGACUAUGUGAUCUCACAGCAUACAACAGGUGCAAAAAUUGCAAAUACCUCAGCAGGCGAGAAAUUCUUGCCAUUGAAGGUGCAAUAGAAACCAUCAGCAGCCUUUUGAUCGGUAAGCUCGAUCAGCACACUGUACCUAUCUUCCAUCCCAUCAUUCCUACAUCAAACGCACAAUUCGCAAUACAACGAUCACUAAAACCAUUAAAAAGCAUUUAAAAAAGAACCCAGAUCGGAAAACCCAGUUCCACCGUCGGAAUGCUUCCAAAAAAUUGAACUUUCAUCAUCGGACCCCCCCUAAGGCAUGAUCAUGAGCAAAUUUUUGAGUUUCGAGUCCAUCUUUUAGAUUUUUCGUCAGCGAAUUCUAAUUCCUCGAAUUCUCUCUUUCGCUUGCCCAAUUCAUCUCACCAACUGCAAAAACCGGUCCGAAGUCCCGAAGAAGAGGAGGAGAGAAAACAGAAACGAUGGAAGCCUUACCUGAUGAACCGGAGCUCGGAGACGUCGUCCAUCCGGGGGCCGCAGAACCGGAUGAAGUCGUCGGGGGAGAAGUAAUUGGGGACGGCGACGACGAAGAGGGUGGUGGAGCGGGCGCCGGGGCUCGAGAGGGGCGCGUGCGACAGCGUCCGGAACAGGUGGACCAUGCCCCUCCUCUCGGUGAACCUAGGGCUCCCCGGCGGCGGCGAGGAGGAGGAGAAGCCGCCGUAGUCGGUGGCGAGGGGGUGGUCGGUGUCCACCGAGUGGCCCCGGAAGAAGAACAUUUUUUAUUUAUUUCGGGUUUUCGAAAUAUAAAAAAAAAAAAAAAACUAAAUUUGAAAUUGAUAAUAUGUAAAUUGUCAUCCAAUUUCAUUGAUAUCAAAUUAAUUUUUGAUUGAGCAAGUCGAGAAUCAUGUGAAUUAUGUGAUUGCUUAUGAACGACAUAAUUUUAUAAUCAUCUGAUUCUCAUUUACUAUUAAAAUGAUGAUGCAUCUAGAUUGACAUUUGUAAUGAAUUCUAUAAACAUUGAAAAAGUAAAAAAUGAAAAAGGCCUAAACUGACCUAGUCGUGUAUUCUAUUUCUUUUGCUUCAUCUGACAAACAAAACAUGACCAAACAAGCUAGAUUACUCCUAAAUAUUCUAAAACUGAAAUGCAAGAGCAGUCGAGUGUCUAUUCGGCAUAAAAAUUGCUAUUACAGGUGAUUAUUAUGCAAGCCUAGUUUGGGCCAACAUCAGGAGUAAUGUGUUGCUCAAGCUCACUAAUAAAAUGAAUCAUACAUAGAAAUGUUGGGACACGGCUUAGGUGAAGGUCGGGCAAGCUAGGAUUUUUUACCGUAAGGAUAUUUUAUAGUCUCGGGGUCAUGUCUCUCAUUGUGAUGUUGCAAAGUGUAGAUUUUAUAGUCUCGAGGUCUUCCUCCUUACACACUUUGGCACAAUUUGUCUUAAAGUGGUACAAUUAACAUCCUCAUCGACUUGUAGAUUUUAUAGCCUUGGGGUCUUCCUCUGGACAUAGUUUGGCACGGUCUGUUUUAAGUGGUACAAUUAGCAUCCUAAUCGACUUCUGCUCAAGUCUAGUGGCGAAAAUUUGUUUUAUUAUAUUCAUUUAGGCCGAUUGAAAGUGAAAAAGAAGACUGACCAAAAAAAAAGAAAGUGAAAAAGAAGAACAUGAGAUUAGGGUGUUGCCUAAAGCGUUGUAUAUUCGAGUUGGAGACAGGUUUAUCUGAUUUUAGUUAGCAAGCUAAAGGAUCGUAGGAACAGGGUUUAGUUUUUGCAGGCGGCUUCUUCUCUUGUUCCUUUUGCGUCGUGCUGAAAGUACUUUUCUUAUGUAUUUUAUUUAUUCUUUUUAAUUUGCUGAAGUAGCAUUUGUUAGCACUUAGCAGGUUCUCUUUUCUUGUUCUUUCGCCACCAAAAACAAAAAAAAAAAAUCUUCUUCCUGUGUUCCUAUUAUGAACGCGAUUUGAGUGCAACAGCACUCAGACCUUGGAUGAAAGUAAAUACUUCGCCAUGGUCUAUCUCGACAUUUUGCUUAUUGGAAUGCAAUCUUUGGGAAUCAAGUUCCAUCUUUUUUAGGAUGAUGGUCUUUAACUGCAGUCGGUUAAACACUGCAUCGUCGGGGACACAAGUCGGUUAUUUCUCCAGCUUUUACAGUUAACGGACUUGAUUUUUUUCAUUUGCAAAUGGACACAAAGCAGGGAGGAGCAUGACAACGAGCCUCUUUUGAUCUCAUCUAUAUUCCUAUCACCCUUCCCUUACUACGCUAUCAGCCACCAAAGAGUACUUUCUCUCAGCACAUGAGCCUAUAUUGUCAUUGCAAAGUGCUUGCACUUCAAACAAAUGCGGAAGUAGGAUGUGCAAUUUAGAGUGUCUGAUUUGAUUCGUAUACAGCGGGUUCAACCCUCGACAAGUUUGGAUGUCACACCUUAAAAGGCACAUUCUUCUGAACGGCUGAGUUUGCAGAAUCAAUAGCAAAGUGAACCUAGUGGGCACGUUUUCUCCGAACAUUUCCACAAAAUUUGGAAUUAGUUCCCCUUACAAAUAGGAACGAGGGUUUUCCCCCUUAUGAGAAGAUGUUCUUGACCUGGGAGUUUAGAAGGGAGUAAGGGCCCGUUUGGUUCGGCUUUGGGGGAAUGUCAUUUGGAGAAUGCAAAUAUCUUUGAGAGAAAGAGGCUUUCGGAAAUGUUAGACCGUUUGGUAAAUUUUAGCAUUGAAAUGCAACUUGGCAUAAAUACCGUUUGGCAAACUUUGCAUUUGGAAUUAGCUUUUGGUAUUUUUUAAUUUCUUUAAAAUCUGAAAUCAAAUUCCCGGCGGCCGGCCACUGCCGACCAACCGCCGGCGACCGCCGGACGGCCAGAUCUGGGCCGUCGCCGGACCACCAGAUCUGGCCGCCGGAGGUCGCGGAGGCCAGAUCUGGCCUCGCCUGGUCGCCUGGCUCGCGCGAGACUAGGCGACCGAAUUUGGUCGGGUGCUCCGAGCACUGCUCAGCCCGUUGCGUGGGUCGCGCAACCCAGGCGACGCCGCCUGAGGCCGCGACCCACGCGACGACGGUGCGUGGCGACGGCAGUGCAUGGCGACGGCAGUGCGUGGGCGACCAGCUCCAGCUAGUUGAGCUCCGCCGGCUAAAGCUUCAAUCUUGAAGAAACAAUGAAGACGAGGAAGACGAUGAACAGUUAUUUUUUAGGGUAAAAGAAGAAAACUAAAUUAUCAAUGAGGGCAAAAGUGGAAGAAAAAAAAAAUCAUUAAACCCCCUUCAACAUGCCGAAAAUGCUGAAUGCCCAAAGCAGGUCCCCACCUGCUUUGGGCUUUCAGCAUUCCAGAGUAUUUUAAAUGCUAGCAUUCCCCCAAAUAUACUCCCAAAUGCUGAACCAAACGGCUGAAAUUUUUCCCAAGGGGCUUUUGGGGCUGAAAGCCCCUUGGGAAUGCUGAACCAAACAGCCCCUAAGAGCCACUUAAAAGCUGUCGUAGUUUUGGAGAUGGUAUCAAACGACCUCUCAAAAAAGUAAUCCCAGUAUGCCAAACAUUAAUUAUUUUGACCUUUUACAAAAUCGUUCAUAUAUUUUUAGACAGUCAUUAAAUAAAUCGGUUUUAUAGCAAUUUCUACAAAAGCCAAUUUGUUAAUUCAAACAAUCCAAGAAAAGAACAAUAGAAGGAGAUUGCCAAUGCCAUUGGGAGGCAACUUGGCAAAGCGAGCACUUUUGUGAGGUAUAAUAAGUCAGAGUUUAACAUCAUAUGGAUCAAAGUCUUUGAUCGCGAAUAAAGAAAUGGCAAAACCACAAUCACAAAACUGAGGGUAGUUGGUAUAAUCGAAAUUUCAUUAAAAACUACUGUCGGUAUAUAAACUUGUUAUUUUAUUCCAAAGACAAAAAUUAUAAAUAUAUUACCAAAGCAGAACAACAUAUAGAAGAACUGAAGUUGAGAUCUAGACUUCUUAAAUUUUGGGGAGAAAAAGUUUCUACAAUAAGUUUUUAGGUACUGCUUUCAAGAAUGCUUUAGUAAGAUUGGCGGAACUGUAACAACUAAACUGAGAAUGGUCUUUCUUUAAUUUUCAGCGUCUGGCCGAGUAUAUGCAUCUACAAUGUCAAUAAGUGCCGGACACCGAAACUCAAUUGAAGAGGAGGACUGGGGAAAGUCGGGGAGUUGCACCAUCCACAACCCCUCCAAGUAUAGAGGUUCUGCAGAACACUGGGCAGUGAAAUACCACCCUCAGGCCUCCCUUGCGUCCGCAGAUGCUGCUAACAGUACUUUUCCUUCCUACUUAUGACGAAUGUCGAUAAAAUGAAAAAACAAUUAACUACAUUCAUGCCAUUCUUGUUUACUUAUCAAGCAUAUGCACACGAAGUGACACCUGCUUAUUUCCGUCUUCGGCUGGGCUUCGUGCUCUUUCUGGUUGGAAAUGAUUACUCCAAACGCACGGGUAAUAGGGUUCCUCCUUUGACGCCAUCUUUAUCAGUCAUCUUACCGAAUGUUUUCUGGUAUCCAAUAAACACCUCAAAUUCUUUGAUCCGUUAAAGAUGACAAGGAACAUAUUGCUGUCAACACACGUUACAUACACAUACACGCGGUUGGCAAUAUUAUGAAAACCAUAUGAAGGAAUAAAGUUUUGAGGUUCAGAAAAUGUACCCGUUUAUCCACAUUUAGUAUUUUUUUCAUUCUUCGACUUUAGUGACAAAAUUAUCCUGCACAUGUGAAGAAAUCGUAUGUGUGCUUCAUUCAUGUCAAAUCAGAUGGGAGGACUAAGUUCUCCGGACAGCUUUAAAUUGACUAAACUCGUCUACAAGUUGCAUCAAAUACAAUCCAUAACUAUGCUUAUCUAGGAAGAUUAGCCCACAUGACUCGAAUGAAGAUGAACAAGAUGAGUAUACUUUAAAAUGCUGCAUAAUUAUUCUCUACCUUGUAUGCAUAUUAAGGAACUCAAAAGGCAUCUAAACCCACAUCGCUUAAUCUGUGAAGCUCGAAUAAGGGUUAUGUCGACCAAGAGCAUAUUCUUUUCCUUUUAUUUUCUAUGUUCUCGAAGUUGGAAAUUUCAACACUACACAUCAUGAACAACCAAUGAACUGUUAUUGGAAUUAGUAAAUUUUUAAUGUUGCAAUUAAAUUUUAGUCGCAAACCAUCACAGAAUUAUUUGCAAAAUUUUCUAGUGUGCAAAAUUGUACUUUGAACUCGAACAAUGACUGUGGAGUUUUGAACAUUAACUUUCUGCCGAUAAAGUUAAACCUCUAAGGCAAUAGCACUAAAACAUCAAAAGGGAAACAAAAUCACAGAUGAAACAUACAUUAACAAAGGAACCAAAUAAGAGAGAGGUCGUCCCGUCUCGCCACUUCUUUGAAACUUCUUCAAAAAAAAAUUCCCAAUAACUACCUACUUCAUCUUCUUGCCACGUCCUCUAACCAAUAUUAACUCAAACUUGGUCAUUUCCCUCCAAAGUAUGGUGAAAAGCAGGCAUAUUAUCUAUUCAAUAAAUUCUCACACAACAUAAAAUGACUUUUCCUUGCACCUUUAAUGAUGUGUCAUAAGUCAUUUAUAAUCACAAUUCAGAUAUUUGCAUUGGGUGUUGUAGUUUCUCUAUCCUCUUCCAACUACUUUCACCCUUUUUACCUCAAUUUGUGACACCAUCUAAAAGUUCAAACUAUUGAACUCUUCCUCUUCACAUUACCAUCCUCACUUUUUUCUCAUCUUCUCAAAUGUUAUUCCGACCUUCCCUCUCAUGACCGACCGACCUAACUUAAAUGAAUUAUGACCAGCAUUGACUUGGGCCAUUAGGUCCAGCAUGAUAGAACUCAAGCGGGCCGACCCUAACCCGAAUCUCUCUUCAACUGAAAUUCACAUGCCACAUGGCACGCUUCCAUUAGUUAAAAUCCUCGUUGUCUACAAUAGAACAAAUGACGCCCAAUGGUCUAAUCAAUUUUCGUGAAAACUGUGUGGGAGCACAAAACUCUAGUUUAAAAAUUUUUAAAAAAAAAAAACAAAGCUAUUCUACCACCGGCCAAUCAUUACAUGUUCCGACUCCUUCGCUGGUCGCGCCGUCGACCAUCAAUCUCAGGAGGAUCACGUUUGUUCAUUUCAUCGAGAGCACCAUUCCAGAACUAUUUUAAAUAUUAAAAAAAAAAAAAUGGAGCAAGGAAAAUUCAUCUCGAAAAGGCGAUUCCGUUCGAUUCAGUUGGCGAUUUCAAGCGUUCUGAAUUGAUCCCAGUGGCGGUCGCCCGCGUCAACAGCCUCUUCAAUGCCGCGACUCAUCUCCUUCGUUUCCCUUCCGCGGCCGAGAGCUUCGAAAUGUUGUCGUUCCGCUCGAAGCUUCUCCACCUGUUCAGGUUUCGAUCAUCGACACGUUCCAUAGCUUCUUUCAGUGAUUCGUGCGCCAAACCGCGGCCUCAGUCCGCUUGAUUAACCGGGUAGCAUCUCCUGUUCUGUCGUCACAAGUAAGAGGCCGAGAGUCCGAUUCUCUUAUUAUGAUGAAAUUGAUCAUAGCUGACUUUUUUUUCAUUGACUUCGAACAUCAUGUACUGAUUUAGGUUGAGUCUAGUUACAAAUUUGGGUUCGAAAUGGCUUUGAUCUGUUCCACAACCGAUUCACCAUAACCUGUUCGGUGAAAUGUGUCUGAGACCUUGGUGUGAAUUGAUUCCAGUAAUCUUCCGAUUUGAAAGCACAUUAGUGAUGUUCACUUGAUAUUGUUUGAUUUUUUAAUCUUUAGACAUGAUUACGAGUAUACACCAAUAGUUGCCAAGGAUGAAACUGACUCUCCGUUUGUUUCCUCGGUGGUUCCUGUGAUCUUUUGGUGAUUGGUGGUGGUUGGCGAGACGAGAAGGCUUGGAGUCACUGGCACACGCGUGAUCUUUGGUGAUGAUCAUAGUACACCCUGUUGAACAGAAUUCAGAUGACGUCGCUGAGCAUGAAUCGCGAUCACGCCAAUUCAGAUCACUAACUUUGGCCGACACAUGUUUCGGUCACUAACUGGAGCAAUGUUAUGGCUACUUGCUAGCCUUAUCGUUGCUGCUGAGUUGCCUCACAAUUUCCUCAACCGCCGAGCUUUGCUUCUGUCCAUGCCUUGCAGUCCAUCGUUGCCAUUGUAAUUGCUGUGGUAAACCUACCUUGCCAUACCGCCAUGCGUUACCGAUAUGGAUUGACGUACCGAUAGAGCUAUAUCCACUGCGUUUUGUUAAAAACUGGAUCACCUCAUACCACCGGCUUGUUUCUGGUCCAACUGAUUUUUAGAGUUGACUGUAUAUUCUGAUUUCCUUCACUCCUUUGUUUUUUAUGUUCAGGAUUUUGCGCAUCUUCUUAAACCGAAUCAUGGGAAAGCUAAGCGGUUCGAAGUCCAGUCAUCAUGGGGUCAAUACUUUGUCACAAAAUCAUCGCAGAUUGCCUGCUUUGCCAUUCCUGUCUUGUCCUUUGAUUAUUGAUUACUCCACCUUCGUCAAUUUCAUUGUCCAGAAGCAGGUGCUAAAUCUGAGAACACCCACUAAAAUGAUAUUUUAUGUCUGUCGUCUAUUUCCUGCUUUAUUCUCUGUGGAUGACAUAUUCUACUUCACACGUGCUGUCGAGGGAGAUCAUGGUCCACAAUCAAUAUGAAGUGAGCAAGUUGUAUUUACUCUCUGUCAUUAGUUGAUAAGCUUUUGGGUAUGACAAUCAAGGAAUGAAACCAGUUAGUAGCUUGCUCAGAAUUAGUAAAUGAGGAUUUAUUUCUUUCUUAGAAGUGUCAAUGCCAUCGCUUUGUCUCUGAUUGUGGAAAGAGUUUAUUGUUCUUUUUGAACUUGCAUAAAAAUCGAUGGAAUGCUUAUGAAGCAGUGAGAUACCCGGAAUUUACAAGUUUUAUGAAUUGGUGUGUCCUGUUGUUGCAUAUGCUGUAGUUUAGCGGUUAUUGUUCAUCUAUGUUUGCUGAACCGUUUGAUUUAUCACUUUCAAUUAACAAGAUUUUGAUAAAGACACGUGACAAUUGUGAGAGAUGCACUGAAACUGGCACUUUGGUGAUGACAGUGCUCCUUCGUGUUGGAGCACUGUCAUUUAUGAUGUUGGAGAAGUGAAUAUGUGUUGAAGGUGCCAACCCCUCGUGAUCUUGGACCCACUCGUUGAAGAAAUGGAGAGGUAUAAACGUAAUCACUUUCCUUCUCUUCGCAACAAUUCUGCCAUUCCCAUAGAAGUUCCAAGAGUACAAUGAGGUCACUUAAAAAUAAUAAAACAGAAAAUGGAGAAACAUUUUGAAUCGGAAGUAGAUAAACUAGUGUUCUAUUAUGGUUUUCUCCUAAAAUAUGUGGUGCUUAGAACCAUUGAGAGAGAGAGAGAGCUUUUCGGAGUAAUGCUUACAACCGUGGCUGAUCAGUCAAAUAGCACAUUGGACAAUGUACAAGACUAUGUUAAGCAGGGAGAAUUAAGAUAGGUAUCCGCGUGCUUUAUUUUCUUUGCGCUUCCAGCUGAGUUGAAGCUAGAUAUAGGUGGCAUGCAUCUAUGAAAAAGUAUAUCUACAGUGCCAGAGUAAACGAGGUAAGUCUGAUAAUUGUAAUGGAGGUAAUAUACAUUUUGCAGCCCCAGUAAUGGACAUGUGACUUUGGCCAACAAAAUGAACAUACGAAGCACAAAACCAGAAACAAAAUCUUUCAUUGUCACCUGUCAGCACCGGUAAAAGCAUCACGCACCUGCAAACUUCAAACAUCUCACUUGACUGAGUCCAAACUCCAAAUCUUUGCAUGGAAAGUAGAAUUGGAUAACAAAAAUGUUCACAGCAUACAAAUAAGAGGGCGCAUGAAGCUAUUGCUUCAAUUUUGCUGCUGAAGAGCGCCCCACUAUUUUCGGAAUCCUCACUGCAACUGCAACUACCACAAUUUCCUUGAAGUGAUUCACAGUAUGAAUUCAUCUCCCAAAGUUUUCCGUCAAAAUUUGAUUCAUUAAGUCGAUGAAUGUAAGUGUCCCCAACGUAGUCCCAAAUUUGCUGCGUUCUUAAAUCUAGAGAAUAGCAAUAUUGUGUAUUUUUCCAACGGCUGAUCGCGUGCUUAUCUUUGCAUCUACAAACCCAAAAAGGAAAAGCUGUAACAAGACAGCCUACCAAACACUAAAAUAUAGACCGAUCAUCAUACACCUUCCACAUCUUCCAAAACCACAUAUCAGACAAACCCAAAGAUAGAGCAAAUUGAGAUGGAGCAGAACGAAAAUAUUCUUCAGGGUUAGUUCACAGAUGGGCAUCCCUGAUGAUGUUGCAAUAUGGAGCCACAUAUGCGAUAAUGUUUAAUUCUCGCAAUCUAAUCAAGUAUGUGCCAUACUUAAAAUCUAUAGCAAUGUAAUUGAACCUUGCAAUAAAAUCAAAGGAAGACCCUUGGCACAUCACUAGCAUUGGAGAAUAUCAUAUUGACUUAUUUUAAACAUAAAGAUUGACGAAUCAAGGAAAGGUAAGUAAGCAUAUGUCCAUUGAUGGAUAAUCCUAUGUGACACUUUUUCAUCUUUUGAUAUAUACUCGAGUUCAAAGUUACUUCUUUGCUACAAAUUUACAUGGAUGGAGCAUUAUCACAAUCAGUGGAAUAUAACUUGAAAUGUGAAAAAUGACCAAGCGCCAUCUUAUCUAACAGCUAGAAGUUUGAGAUCAAAGAUCAGCACUUUGACAUCAUUAUGAUCACCUAUGUCAACAAUGAAUACUUAAGUUCAACACAUAAACUCAAUAAUUUAUGAUUUGCCAGUGCUAUUGCGAUCACCCUUGGAUUCACAAUAAAUUGGACACAAUGGUGAUAGGACCAUUAGAUCAAAUAACCAUAAUGAGACACUGCAGUUAUUCUCAUGUCAAGGUAUAAGAAACAUCAAAAAAUAAGUCCAAAAAGCCACACCAUGGACCUAUUCCAAACAUUAGAAAAUGUCAUAAUCAUUUAAAGUGUUGAUAAAACCUCCAUAUAUAUUUUAAAAUUAACAAAACUAUCCAUGUUUGUAUUGAUCUUGGUAAUCGCAAAAAAGGCAUUUGUGUUUUAGGUACUAUCUAUGUCGAAAGGAUUUUUCUUGUCUAAUAAGAAUUAUUAGACAAAGAAUGAAGAGUUGUGGACCUAAGCAGGUCCUUAAAAGGCUCAAGGAGGAAACAAGCGAGAUAACCGCCCUGAGAUGGGAGUUUCUGCACUGUCCUCCGUAUUCCCUCUUUGUCAGGAAGACAAAGAUAGACAAGGAAUUUCGGGGUCUCUCGGUGGGAAAGGUAGACUCCACGUCAGAGCUUGCUUUGGCUACCGCCGGGUAGAGUGGUAUAAUAGCCACCCGUGCUUGGGGUGAGGGAGGGUGGGUGAAAUGCCCACUGCUGUGUUAGCACGCCUUAUGGCACAGUUCCUAACCACCGGCUAACACAGUACCCCGGUAUAUGUGUGAUAUUAGCAAGUGACCUACAUUGAUGCCAGCAAGUCAAAGGCUAGACAUCAACAAGGCAACAUGCUAGAUAUCAGCAAAGUCCCACAAAAGCUAAGUAUAAGCAUGAAAUUGAUUUACAAGAUUAUUCUUUGAGACAUUUUAUCUCAUUUUUAACAACUUGUGAUUAGGUAUGGAUUGCCUCUUAAGGAAACAUUGAUUGUCUAUCUCAUAGAUUGUCUUAGCAAAAGACUCAAUCCUGUAAGAUAUUUUGAUUGAUUGGCAAUCAUCUUCAAAGGCAAGUUUCUUUCCAUAGUAGAAGCAUUCUAUUUUUUAUAACCAAGGUUUAAUUGUAUGGGCGACCAAAUGAAAAAGCCACAUUUCAUAUUCUUCCCUAAAAUAUAUUUUGUUUUAUCUUUCAUAAUAUAAUCAUCAUUACUAUAUGCAUCUUCUUGUUUAUUUCUCAUAACAAAACGCAUAACCAAUACACUAUCGUCCUUAUGAACUACAUUGUCUACCACAUUAACAUGUCUUAUCUUAUUUUUUAUUUAUUACUAUUAUUAUUAUUAUUUUGUAAAUUGAGGUAUUGCAUUAAACAUCUUAACAAACUUUAUUCUAUUUAGGAAACAAAAAGUAACCAUUUGGUUAAGAUAUAUAUUUAUGACAAUGUAAUUGGUCAAGGUUGUGACAUUGUUGUAUAGUCAGUUCAUACUGUCCAAUCACUAAUGACAGCGACCUAUAACGAGUAUUGCUUAUUAAUUUUCUUUUCUAUAUUUUGUUAUUGAUUAAAUAUGCAAGUCUAGUCAGGUGUGCUGGAUCUCAACUUUCAAUAAAAGCUUCAUGUGCACUUGCUCAAAGAUUUAGAUUUAUGGAUUUUAUUGAUCACAUGUUGUUGGACAAUGUCAAUUACAAAAUUUGGAUUAUUUAAGGUUUGUGCCGAGAUGGUGUGGCAUUAACAUAUAUUCCCAAAUGUGAAACCAAGAUGUCAAAAACUCGGGAAGGGCCAGGAGUUUGUGAAAGGAAAAAGAAGGGACCAAAAUUAUCUUGUUUAGGUCGUGAGAUGGAUUUAACGUAAUGUAUAACUCAAUUAGUUGUUGUGUAAAUAAGAUCGUCAUAAUCAUCCAAUUUGCCCAAACAAGGACAAACAAAUCUUAUCAUAUUUACCAUCAAUCGAUUUUUAAUUAUCUUGACAAUCUAAUAUCUAUAUAGUAGAUUCUUCAGAAUUGUUACUAUAUUAAAUGUGCUAAUAUGCUUGUAACUCCAUUCAAACUAGGAUAUGGAGCCUAAUCCGAGUCCCAUCUUUAGUAAAAUUUUCAUGUCUAAUUUUCAAAGGCCAUUAAACAGCAGAAAAGAAGUGGCUCUGCGUAGAGGGUUUGUAUUCUGGUUUUCUAAUAAAUUAGGUAUCUAUUUCAAAAUUAUAUGCCAAAGAGCAUAUCAUUAUCAUUAAAUGCUGCCGUAAUCUACUUUAUUUAUUUAUUUACUAAAAUUAGUUGGUGGAGAAUACGCACCUCCCGCAUAAUGCCGCGUAAAUAAUAAUCCAAGGAGUAAUGUUUUUGUGAUUGACUCGUGUGUAUUUGCACCGGAAUCAUGGGAUUAUUGCUAUGCUGGUUAGUUUUCUUUUCUAUUUCUCGUAUUAACAGAACAGCAAAGUCAAGUCAACAACCACGAGCAUAGGAUUCUUCCACGCACCUCCUGCAAACAGCUGUGGAAAUUACGCGUGCAUUGAUUGACCUGUGGAAAUUGGCUUUGGUGAGAAUUGAUGGUUGGUCUUCAUUUCUAUUUCUUUAUUAGUAGAAAAAACAAGUCAAGUCAAAAAGCGUAGGAAGGUCCCCGCGCCUGCUGCAAAAUGUAGUGGAAAUUACGCGGGCAAUAGUUGCCCAACAGUUGUCUUUUCUAUUUCUCUUAUUGAUACAAAAGGCAAGGCAAGUCGAGUCAAGGUCCUCGCUUUGGAUAAAUAAAAUGUUUAGAAAUAAAAUAUCAUUAACAUUAUAAAUAUUUGUCAUUAAAUUAAUUAUUUUAAUUAAUAUAAAUAAUCAUUCUAAAGGAUAUAAUGAAAUUAUUUUUUAUUAAUUAAUUAUUUUAAAUGAUACAAGUAAACAUAAUAUUUAUCGUUUCAAGAAUUUACUUGUAUUUCUCUAAAAAAUUAAUCAAUAAAAAAUAUUUUCAUUAUCAAUGAUAAUUUAUGUUUAAAUAUUUUCAUAAACAAUUCAUUUAUUUAUUUUAGUAAGUAAUAUAAAUGAUUAUUUUUAAAAAAUAUUUUUUGAAUUAUUUAUAUUUUAUGGAACAAACGCACGCUAAAAGCUCCAAACAAAUGUUAAACUGAUGUGAUGAAGUAUUAAGGUGCCCUAUCAAGGGCCCCAAACGUUAAAUCCUCGAAGUUGCCAUACAGCUUGUACCUAUCAAAGAAACUCAAAAAAAUCUACCCACACUGAUAUGAACAAGACAAACUGGUGGACUAGAGAGAGCCUUGUAAGAUGAACCAAAGAUAAGGAUGGAAUCUUGAACACCCAAUGAAACAAGAGAUACAGAUAUCACAAGAUAAAGCUCAAAAUUCAUUUAUAAUACAUUUUGUGGUGUGUUUAGGCCAUAGACCGAUCAUAUCUUUCAUUCUCAUUGGAUGCGUAGGAAUCCAAUAUCCUAAUAUAUAAUAUAGGUGCGUUUCAAAGGUUGUGGUCUCCGAAUAUGCAAACAUUUUUUUUUUGCUAAUAAGGUGCUAAUUUGUCUUUACCUUAGUGUGAGUGGAAAUCCAUCACUGACCUCACCAGUAUUUUCCAUGAUCUAAUUUCAAAUAGUAGAAGAUUAAUGUGCCAGUUGAGCCUAGAAAUCCUUGCCCAAGAUCGAUCAUGAUUAAAGAAUAGGAAAAUACUACCAACCCCGGGUCUAUAAGGAGAGAAUUUAUCUUUUGUUUUUUCAUUUAUCUUUUUUAGUUUUUGCCGCACUCUUAGUUAAAUAUUCCUUAAUCUUAUGCAAUUAAAAUAGUUGCGCUCACAUUAAGGACCCAAUUGCACUAUCACUUGAAUUAUUUUCCUAAAAUUAACUAUUUAUAUCAUUUAAAAUAAUUAGCUAAUAAAAAUAUUUUAAUUAUCAAUGAUAAUUUAUAUUUAUAUAUUUUGUAUUUUUUAAAAAGCAAGCAAGACUUUGACUUGACUUGUCGUGCCUUUUCUAUGAACAAGAGAAAUAGAAAAGAAAAUCAAAGGGCAAUUAUUGUCCGCGUAAUUUCCAUUGCAUUUUGCAGAAAGUACCGGGGACCAUCCUCUGCUUCUGGAAUUGAUGUACUUUAUCUACUGAUAAAGGAAAUAGAAAUGAAAACGAACGAGCAAUUCUCCACCAUCUAAUUUCCACAGGGCAAUCAAAUGCACGCGUAAUUUUCACAGCAGUUUGCAGAAGGUGCGUGGAACCAUCCUGUGCUGGUGCUUCUUGACUUCACUAUGCAUUUCUCCGUUAAUAAGAAAGAUAGAAAAGAAAACUAACCAGCAUAGCAAAGCUCCCGUGCUCUCGGCGGUAAUUUAAACGAGUUAAUAAAAACAAAUCACUUGUCGGAUUAUUAUUUCCGUGGUAUUAUGCGGAAGGUACGUACUCUCCGCCAACUAAUUUUAAUAAAUAAAUAAAAAGAAAAUAGAUUGCAAUGGCAUUUAAUGAUGAUGAUAGGGUGCACUGGAAAGGAAAGUCAGAAAUUUUUUCCUUUUUUCUUUUACCAAUCUUUCUUUCAUCUAAAUAAAUUACUAACUCAUUCAUAUAUAUAUUUAGAUGAUGAAGAAACCUUCCGAUUUCCAUUAUUCAUAUUCGGUUCAUUUCCUUUAGAUAUUUUGCCUCCCAAGCAAGUAAAUAUCCAGGAGCUCACUAAUUCCAUCAAUUCUUGCUACACUUCUCGAUCCUCAAAAGAGUCUGAACCAAUGUUUAUCAUUUGUCUAGAAGUUUGAUCCUCAAAAGAGUCUGGACCAAUAUUUAUCAUUUGUCUAGACAACUUAUAUAACAGACAAACUGUUCUCCUCCUAGAUAUCUAGGAUUUCUAAUUUUUUCUUUUCUUUUCCUCGGGGAGGGAUUCACCCAUCGGCCAUGCCCACCAAUUAUUAGAAGCAUCAUUAGGAAAAAAAUAAAUGCGCCCUACUAUGCGACAAAGUUACAUUCCAUAUUCUUCCUUAAAAUAUAUUUUGUUUUAUCUUUCACAAUAUAAUUAUUAUUAAUCCAUUGUUUGUUUUUUUUUUGUAACUAAACACAUAACCGGUACGAUGUCGUUCUCAUAAACUACAAUGUCCAUCAUAUCAUAAUGUCUUGUUAUGUUUUUCUGUUUUUUUAUUUUUAUUUUCGUUUGUAAAUUGAGGUAGUGUAUUGAACAUCAUUUAGUUAUGGUGAUAUAGUUUAAUAGUGUGAUUGGUCAAGGUCCUGAUAUCAUUGUAUAGUUAGUUCGUACUAUUCAAAUGCUAACGAUAGAGACCUGUAACGAGUAGUGCUCGUUAUUUUUUUUUAUAUAUUUUGUUAUUGAUGAAAAAUGCAAGUCCAAUCAAGUGAGCUGGAUCUCAAAUUUCCAUCAGAGCAUCACUUGCACUUGCUCAAAGCUUCAAGUCUAUGGAUUUCAUUGUUUGCACGUUGUUGUAGGAUGUCAAUCGGAAAGUCCGGAUUAAUUAAGGUUUUUAAAGAGAUGGUUCGGCGUUAACAUGUAUUCCCAAAUAUGAACCCAAGAUUCCGCGAACUUGGGUGGGGCCAACUACAAUGUCUUGUGAGUUUGUGAAAAGGAAAAAGAACAUUUUUGAUCAAAAUCAUCUUGUUUAUGUCAUGAAAUGGAUUUAACAUAAUGUAGUAAAUCAAUUAGUUAUUAAUCGUGCUAACAAGAUUGUCAUAAUUUUGUCCAACUUGCCCAAGCAAGGACAAACAAAUUUUCCCGUAUUUACUAUCACUUCAUUUUUAAUUGUCUAGAUAAUAAAAAAGCCAUAAAUUGUAGAUUCUUCACAAUUUUUACUAGAUUAAAUGUGCUAACAUGCUUGUAGCUCCAUCCGAACUCGAACAUAGAGUUUCACCCGAUUCCUCUCUUUAGUAAAAUUUCCACAUCUAAUAUUCAAUCGGCAUUAAACAGUAGGAACGAAGUAGUUAUAUGCACAAAUUUGAUAGUUGUAUUACGAUUUUAUGAUAAAAUAGGUAUAUUCUUCAAAACUAUAUGCCAAUAUGCAUAUCAUCAUCAUUAAACACUACAGCAAUUUACUUUUUUUAACUUUAUUAAAAUUAGUUGGCGGAGAAUACGCACCUUCCACGUGAUGCCGUGAAAAUAAUGAUGCAAUGAGUGAUGUUUUUGUGCUCAUGUAUAGUGGCACCGGCGGCAUGGGAGCAUUCCUAUGCUGGUUAGUUUUCUUUUCUAUUUCUCUUAUUAGUUGGAAAAAAAAGGCAAAGCAAGUGAAGAAGCACCAGUAUUGCAUGGUUCCACGCACUUUCUGCAUAACUGCUGUGGAAAUCACGCGUGCAUUGAUUGCCUUGUGGAAAUUAGAUCGUGGAGAAUUAAUCGUUGGUUUUCAUUUCUAUUUCUUUUAUUAGCAGAAAAAGCAAGUCAAGUCAAGAAGCAGAGGAUGGUCCCUGACACCAUCUGCAAAACGCAGUAGAAAUUACGCGGGCAAUGGUUGCCCUUUGGUUUUCUUUCCUAUUUAUCUUAUUGAUAGUAAAGGCAAGGUAGGUCAAGUAAAAUGUUGACAAUUAGUGGAGGUCACAGCGGCAGGUGAGCAGUCAUAAGCGUCAGGGGGGAAUUAUCCAUCGAGCACGCCCACUAAUUACUAGAAGCACCGUUAGAAAAAAAAGAUACACACUUUACGAUGUGAAGAAGGAAUUGCAUUUCAUUUUCUUUCCCAAAACUUUAAUUUGUUUUAUCAUUGCUAUUUAACCUUUGUUUCGUGCAUACACUUAUUUAUUUCUUAUAUAAGGAUACAUGUAAUUGGUAAAAAUGUCAUCCUCGAGAACUACAAUGUCCACUAUAUUACCAUGUCUCAUUUUUCUUUUUCCAUUUGUACUUUGAGGUGGUAAAUUAAAAAUGUUAACAAAAACAAAUUCUACUCAGGAGUCAAGUCAAGUGUGAUGAAUCUCAAAUUUCGAUCAAAACGUCACACAUUUGGUAGAAAUUUCAAAAUCUAUGGAUUUCAUUAUUUACAUGUUAUGGUAGUAUGUCAAUCGGAAGGUUUGAAUUAUUUAAGAUUUACACAAAAAUAAAUCUAACAUAAGGCGACAACUCAAUUAGUUCUUAAUUAUGCAAAUGUCGUGAUUGUCCAACUUGCCCAAGUAAUAACAAACAAACCUACCCAUAUAUACUAUCAAAUCGUUUUUUUUAAUUUUCUCGAUAAUCUAAUAAUCAUUGGGAUAUAGGGUCUCAUCCGGUUCUUGUAUUUCGUAUGAUGUCUACAUCGUUUCUUCAAUUGACCGUAAACAAUGAUGAAGCGACUCUACACACAUGAAUUUGGUGGUCGUCUUCUGCUUUUCUGAUAAAAUGGGUCCCCCCUUCAUAACUAUACGUCAAUAUGACAUGAUGCUUCCUAUAAAGAAAGAGGGAGGGAGAGAGAGAGAGAGAGCGCAUUAUCGCAAUCUGCACAAUCGGAAUUGAUUGUUGCUUUUCGGUUCUAUUUCUUUAUUCAUAAAAAAAAGUAAGUCAAGUCAAAAAGCACACGUACCUUCGCAUAAUGCUGGUGUGCAAUAAUUAUCCUGUCCGUAGCAUGCGAGACAGAGCAUUAUUGCAAUCUACACAAUCGGAAUUGAUUGUUGCUUUUCGAUGCUAUUUCUUUAUUCACAAAAAAAAAAAGCGAGUCGUACCUUCGCAUAAUGCUGGUGUGCAAUAAUUAUCCUGUCCGCAGCACGAGAGAGAGAGAGCAUUAUCGCAAUCUACGCGAUCGGAAUUGAUUGUUGCUUUCCGAUGCUAUUUCUUUAUUCACAAAAAAAAAAAAGAGAGUCGAGUCAAAAGGUACACGUACCUUUGCAUAAUGCUGGUGUGCAAUAAUUAUCCUGUCCGCAGCACGUGACUUGAGUUGUUGGAUGGCAAGUCAGCAUUAUGUGCUCUUUUGGACGAAUCUCCUUUGAAAUAAAAAGAAGAAGAGCAGAUUUUGGAUUGAAAAUAAUGAAUUGUCCUUAUUCGAAUAUCUAAACAAAGUGUCCUACUGACAUUUAUGUUAUAAUAUGUUUUUGUGAUUGACUCAUGUAUAUUAGUAUUGACAGCAUGGGAGUCUUGCUGGUUAGUUUUCUUUUCUUUUUCUUUUAUUAAUAAUAGUUAAAAAAGCAAGUCAAGUCAAAAAACACUUGCAUAGAAUGGCCCCACGCACCUCUAGGUUCCCGUACCUACCGCGUAAUGCCGGGGGUAUUAUCAAACAGCAUUUUCUUUCAUUUUAAGUACUUAAAAUAGUCUGAAAUUCAGUACUAAAAAAUUUCAGUAAUUAUUUACCAGUUUUAUCUAAACGGGCAUGUACUCGCAGCUUAUUUUUCACAAAUGAAUUAAGUUCAGCAUUGGCUGAAAAAAAAAAACAAGUUGAUGCAAGUUGAAAAUCGAGUUCUAUCGCAUAAGGUUCGACUUGAAAUUACCAAUGCAAUCAUUUACUUUAAGCCAUCAGAGUACAAUGCUUAAUAUAUUUUAGAUCUUAACAGCUUAUUUGGUUUGAUUUCUAGCUUUUUCUUGACAACAAAGCAUAGAUGAAGUAUGUUAAUCCGCAUAUCAACAAAUUCUCCACUAAUGCAAAAUAUCAGCAAGACACAAGUCUCCAAAUACGAAAGAAUUUAUGCUUACAAAUAUGAUGAAUCAACACAAAUUGCGUACUUAGGCUCCAUAUACUAAUUUUUACUUUCUAUUCUCUCGCACCUCUCGUAGUCGAACUUUUGCUUAACAAAAAUUAUUUAAAUGAUUCAAAAUAUGUAGAUACUCUCACGUAGAAAAUUAUACAAUUAUGUUUGUAAUUUAACUUGAAGAAUGUACAUAUUUAAAAUUUUUCAAAUGUAGAACAUCAAUUAUAUUUUUAAGUGCAGCCCAAAUUUUUAUCAAAGGGCCGCAUACCAAAAUUUUCUUUUAUUCUGAAAGAGGUAAUGCACCUGAUUAGUCAUUAGAGAAAAAGGCCAAAGCAUGGAGCCGCCUCAGUUAGCGCUGUCGUCGAGCGUUGCAUAUUCCCCAUCUCCUUUUUCAGAAGCCAAAAGAAAUCGCCCCGAACGUCAAACCCGCCCACUCGCCUCGGUCAGGGAGAGCACGUGAACUCGCUCGGACCGCGCGCCACGUGAGCUCGAGGGGGCAAUUCGGUACAUUCCGAGUGGCCGAAGAUAUUCCUGAGAUGCGAGGUGGGGACCACGCGUUGGCUUCGGUUUCUGAGCAGCUGACCGUCGUAGCGGUCGAGCAACGCGGAGAGGAGGAGCGGCGUGGGUCCGUGUGAAGAGACAACCUAAGCAGAAUCCACGAGGUAAAUUUCUACUCAUUUUUCGUGGAUACAAGUCUUCGUCUAGUUGCUUUAGGGUUUCCACCAUUACUUAAGGCCUCAGCUUGCAUAGCAGAGUUUAUUCUUACCGAUCUAGCAAAUUCAUCCAUCAAAUUUCCAUAAUUGUUUCGGCAAACACAACUUAUUGCUCCGAUCGUCAUUCCGGGCAAAAAAGUUCUAUUUAUAUUGAUUUUGAGGGUGUCUUCGCUUGGGCCAAACUAGAUCUGAGGUGAGGCUUCUUCGCCUUUUCCCAACUGUUGAAGCACUAAUUUUUCGCCAUGGUUGAGCUUAUAAGGUGCUUCGGAUUUGGCUUUAGUUUGCGGAAAACAAAGUAAUUUCUUUCUUUCCAAAUACGCCAGAGGAUAGAUGCAAGGAGGUCGAAACAUGCAGAGGAUGAUUGAAUUUAAGUAACCAUUCAUCUAUUCGACCAAGUCUAUAAGGUGAGAUCUUAAUUUGUAGUGCAGGAUCCAUCCAAAUUUGAUUCGUGCAAGGGCAAAGUAAGAAGAGGUGCUCUACCGUUUCUGGGUUCUGUUUACAUAAAUCGCAGGUACUUUCUUCCACUAUACCUCUCUUUUGUCGAUUUUCUUUUGUCGGCAAUGCGUUUUGACAUAGUCCCCAUAAGAAAAAUUUGAUUUUCGGGCUUGUCUUAGCCUUCCAGAUCUUUAUCCAAAGAGAUCUAGGGAUUUGGUGAGAGGUAGAGGCUGUGGUGUUAUUGUUCUAUUCUUCCUUCUCUUUGAUUCUAUUAUACCCACUUUUAAGAGUAUAGUCUUGUGCUUUUGUUUGUCCAGCAUAAUUUAUCCUCCUUUGCCUGGGAAUCAAUGGGAUUGUUAGAAUUUCAUUAGCUGUGUGCUCAUCGAACAAGGUCCCAAUAAAUUGUCCAUUCCAAGCUGGGAUAUCUCUGUGAAUAAGCUGGUUCAUCCCUGUUUGCGGGUCUUCCUAUAACUCCUUUGGGAAGCCAUUUUGUCUCUCUGAUAUUAAUCUUUUCCCCAUUCCCUGCUAUCCAUUUUACUGAAGGAAGAAUCUCGUCUUUGCUCAUUAGAAGAUUUUGCCAGAACCAUGAAAGUCGAUACCCCUUUGCAGUUGACCAAAAUUCAGAAUGAGGGAAUUAUAGACUUUUAGUAAUUGGCACCACAGUGAUGAAGGAUUUUGCAUCAUACGCCAUGCUUGUUUACCGAGCAUGGCUUUGUUGAAGGCAAUUAAAUUUCGAAAUCCCAAACCUCCAUUGUCUUUCCUAUGCUUAAGAAUGUGCCACUUCUUCUAGUGUAUUCCAGAUUUUUGUUCAGCAGUAUUCCAUAAAAGGGUCUCGAACGGUUGGACGGCAAUAACUCAGCAUCGUUCAAGCAAGCACGGGAGAGUGUUGAGCGUAGUUUAUCCAAGGUUGAAGGCUGAGAACCGGCAGAGAUCACAGUAGUAGGUGAAUUGUGUUGUUUGAGCACCCUUCAGGUAAUCGAUUGCUCCAUUUUCUUUUGAUGAGUUUCGAUUUGAGUUCUUGGAGACAUUUUUGCAUUCCGAGAUCUGGACUGUGAAAUCUAGACUUUUUUUCUUCAAGGCUCUGCUCGAUCGAUGUCCUAUUCGGUCAAUUAGACUUCAUUUCUGUUUGAAUUUAGCUACGAAAUGAGCUGUGACAGACAUUUCAGCAAUUCCCGAAUCUGGGAUUCCGUAUUUCUCUUUGCUUUCUGCUUUUCUUCGGGGCUGUGCUCCAUCAAUCUCUUCCAUUCCCUUUAUAGGUGAUUACAAAGGCGGAGCCUAAAAGAUUCGAUAUGUGGGGACAUUCAGAAGAUCCGAAUUGCGGGGCUUCUUCCUCAUCGACUUCUCCAACUGUAGGUGAUUAUGAAGGCAGAACCAAAAAGACGAAAAGAAACGACUACGAAGUGUUCUUGAGCUUUAGAGGGAAGGAUACUCGCAAUGGCUUCACCGAUUAUCUCUAUACUAGUCUUGUUGAUGCAGGAAUUCAUGUGUUCAGAGACGACAAUGAGCUUUGUGUUGGUGAGGUGAUUGGACCGGAACUUUUUCGCAGUAUUACACAAUCUAAGAUCUCCAUCCCGAUUAUCUCAGAGGACUAUGCAUCCAGCAAAUGGUGCCUUCGCGAGUUGGCUCUUAUGUUGAAUUGCAAGAGAAACAAAGGGCAAAUGGUGUUACCCAUAUUUUACAAAGUGGAACCUUGGCAAGUGAAGCAUCUCACAGGGAGAUUUGGAGAUGCUAUCGAUACACAUAAAAAGAAUUUGGAAGAAAAGAUUGUGAAGGAAUGGGAAGAAGCACUCAAAGAAGUCACUUCCUUGAAAGGAUUGGAAUCGGAGAAAAUUGAUAAUGGGUACAUUAUUCACCACCACAACAUUGUUUACUUUCUCAUAACUAGAUCUUACUUGAAAAAUAAUACAAAUAUUUCCAUUUUAUUGAAAUUUUUAUUGUUGUUCGACAGGCGUGAAGGAACAUUGGUUAAAAUAGUUGUCAGAAAAGUUAUGAGUAACUUAAAGGAAUUGUUUUUGCUAAAUGUUCCCAAACAGUUGGUGGGAAUUGAUGAUCAUGUGGAGCAUAUUAUGUGCUUCAUAAAUGCUAAAUUUAGUGAUACAAGUGUUAUUGGAAUCUAUGGAAUGGGCGGCAUCGGUAAGACAACCCUUGCGAAGGUGUUGUACAACAAGCUUUUGAGUCAUUAUGAGUCUCAUAGCUUUGUGGCAGAUAUCCGAGAAAAAAUAAAGCUCAAGGGUUUUGAAUGCAUACAAAAGCAGCUCAUUUAUGACAUAAGUGGAGGCUUACGUGAUGUGUCUAAUGUCGAUCACGGAAUCAAUAUCCUUAAAUCUCGAUGUAUAAAUAAGAAAGUACUCAUUCUUCUUGAUGACAUGGAUGAUAAUACUCCCUUGAAUGCUUUGGUCGAAGACGGUAGUUGGUUUAAAGCUGGAAGCAUGGUCAUCAUCACCACUAGAGAUAAGAGUAUUCUUGACAAGGUUGGGGUAAGAUACAAGUAUCAACUCAACGAGUUGCUUUCAGAUCAAUCAUUGGUUUUAUUUAGCAGACAUGCAUUUCGAACGGAUUCUCCUCCAAGUGAUUAUUGGGUUAUCUCUCGUGAUAUUGUAUCUACUACUGGGGGGCUUCCUUUAGCUCUUGAAGUUAUUGGUUCAUUCUUAUGUGGAAAGACAAAAGAAGUAUGGAAAGCUACAUCAAAAAAAUUAGAGAAAGUGCCUAAUAAGAAAGUGCAAGAGAAGUUGAGAAUAAGUUACGACGCAUUAGAGUAUGAGGAGCAACAGAUUUUUUUGGAUAUAGCAUGUAUUUUUAGUGGACUUUGUACAGAAGAUCUGACUUAUAUGUGGGAUGCGUGUGGUUUUUUUCCGGAGAAGGGGAUUGAAGUAUUGAGUCUUAUGUCCCUAAUUAAAAUUGAUGGAGAUGGCAUUCUAAUGAUGCAUGAUCAGCUGAGAGAUUUUGGAAGGGAAAUUGUUCGCCAAGAGAAUCAAAGGGAACCUCAAAACCGUAGCAGAUUAUGGAAUACUAAGGAAGCCGCAGAUGUGAUUUACAAUAACAAGGUAAGAUUUUAUCUACAUCUCUCAGUUAGUGAAUGUGAGCCCAUCUUCUCUUUUAUGUUUUGAGAUAAAAAAUUAUUGGCAAUCUGGAGCCCCUAAAACUUCUUCUACUAGCAAAAGAGCUCUUCCGGUUAAUUGCUUAUGUUGUUUUUGCCUGACUCUUUUGAACAUAAUUGAGGACCAAUUUCUUGGUUGUUGAUGAAUUAUAUAUACCUCUAUCUCGUAGUAUUGUGAUGAGGACCCUCUCCUUUGUAACUUCAAUGCAACUAAAAAAUUACAAAAGCAUAAUAUUUGACAGAGCAUUUUCAAAGAAAAGCUGAUUUUCUAUAAAUUGUUGGCGGCCAUGCUUUUCCCACGUACAUGUUUAAUGCACAUCCAUGAUGUUUGGAUUUUUUCUUUGAUUUCUUGUGAGGUCUUUGCAUCCUUUUUAUCUUUUACUGAGUAUUGAGUUUCUUAUGGGUUGUUUGCUAUGAUAAAUGAGACUUCCAUUCAUUUAUGGUGACUAGCUAUCUUAGUCCCGUAUUUUUUAGAAUUGGGUUAAGUAUAGUUUUCGUCUCCUAGAUAUUACUAUUUAUGUGAUUUAGUCCCCUAUCUAUUUUUUUUUAUUAUAAAUAUUAUAGUCUUUUGUCUUUCGCAAUUUAUGUAAUCAUGUUCUUUGUCUUCAACCAUUAGUCACCACCAUGAUAUGACUUUCAUAUUUAUUUAAGAUAUAUGCGCAACCUUGCAAUGUAACCCUCUAAACAAAUAUUAUUUUCGUUCCAUAGACUUUCUAUAACAGUGCAUAUAUUUUUUCUAUGAAUUUGCUACUAUUAUAUUUUAAUUUUCUGACAAUGUAUAAUAUUUCUAUUAAUCCCCUAAUAACAUUUAUUUGUCAAAUAUUCACUAUCAUCCCCUAAUAAUCACUUCUUCAUAGCUCAACUCUUGGUGAGCAUCUUAUUUAACAAAAAGAUUUACUUAAUUUUAUAUCAUCAUUUGUUAAAUAUGGGCUAGCAUGUGACUUAAUUCUUGUAUCGAUUUUUUAUUUACCAAAUAUUGACUGCCACAGUAUAAUAAAUAUUUCUACAUCGUUCAACUCUUAGCAAGCAGUUAAUUUAGCACAUAUUUAAUACAUUUCUAUCAUUUAAUUGUUAAAUGUGAGCUGUCAUGUUAUAAUUUUUUUUUGGACGUUAUUAUAAUUUACUUAUAAAAUAUGACAAAAUAUUUUCUUCUUUUUUGGUAAGGAUAUGACAAAAUAUUUUCUCAUAAUGAGUAUUGCUAAAACUUUUAAUCAUAACAGCCAUCACUUAUUAUACAUCUCGUUAUACUUAUUAUUGAAGUUUAUGUUGUCAUGUAAUAAAGUCCUCUUAACAUAUAUUAUUUUUUCUUCUAUGAUGGACAAUUUUAUUAAUUCAUCUACCUGUAAAGCAUGUUUAUUUUUUUAUUGGUGAUGAUGGUUACUUUUUUAGUCAUAAUGGGACACCUUUGCAAUCACAAUAGUUGUCACUAGUAACAUUUGAAAAUAGUUUUAGAUGGAAGUAAUAGAGCCAUAAGUUUCUGCUGCGCACUCUAGUCUCAGUAUCUCGAUUUUCUCUAUUAGUCUUAAACUUGACCAAUCUGCAAAAAUUAAAGGUGGUCAGCGACUUACACUCAUCCAUCAUAUACGAAUGAAAUGCUAUAUCGCUCUGAUCCAUUUCUCUCUAGCUCUUCCCAUUUCAUGUGUCUUGAUUGGUUUAAGGAAUGAGUUGGAUACAUGUCAAAUGAUUGAUGAAAUAAUUGGUAACUAAGCAAAAGCACCCCGCAAACAUACUCAUGCAACUCACCAUCUCACAUUCUUCUUUUGAUCAAUGCAUAUUUUUUCUUUUUUCUCUUUUUUAAAAGCUCAUCCACAAAGGUAGUCUAUUCAUAUUGAGUUAAUUACGUAUUCACAUUCUACUUAAUCCUCCAAAAUACGAGAAAUUACAUUACAGUAGACUUCUACUGCUAUUACGAUCUUCGACACUUGAUAAAUAGAGAAUCUAAAUAAUAUUUUCUUGCAUUUAUAAAGAGGACACUAUACAAAGAAGUUAUCACCAAAAAAGAAAAACAGAAGAAGAAGAAGAAGCAAGAGAUGUUGCAUAAAGAAGUAUGUGUUAUUAAGAAAUAAAAAUAAGGAAGUGGAAAGACAAAUGGAAGUAACGAAGGAAUGUUAAUAAAUAGUUAAAUUAUUUGUCGAAAGGGACGAUCUGGAAGUUCUUUCAAUUUUAGGAAUAAAUGUGAGAAGGUCAUUCCUGGCGGAUGCGAAAUGGAAAACAUUCUAUAUUUUACCAAUAAAGAUUACACAUGAGUCGCAUGUGAAUAGAGGCAUUUCUCCUUUGUUUUAGGUUGCUAGAGGAUUGUUGAGUUAUGACUAAUGACAUAGCUCCAAGGAUUUCUGAUAUGAAUUUCAUCUUUAGCAAAAAAAGGAAAUUGUGUAGCAGAAUUUUAGUGUACGCGUGAAGUUGAGUUUCAAUAUGGUUGGAGAUACUUGUUCAAAAAAUUCUAAACCUAAUAUAACGGCUAAUUCAUUUUCAAACUUUUAAAUACGAUUAAGGCCACUAUUUUUUUCCUCAAUGCAAUCCUUUAUCUUUCACAAUUUGGGCAAUCGAGCCCUUUGUUGUCAAGUGUUAGUUAACACCGUCAAUUUGCCAUGUGGCUUUUAAAAUUAUUUAUGAUGUGUAAAUAUUAUUUUCGUCCUAUAGGCUUUUCGUGGUGGUAGUUUGUCACAUUAUUUUCGUCCUGUAGACUUUUCGUGGUAGUAAUUCGCUUGUGACAAUGGAUAAUUUUUCUAUUAAUCCCAUUUCUUUGGCAAAUAUAUGCUGGCAUGAUUUAGUUGAUGAUUAUAUCAUUAUUUGUUAAAUAUGUACUAUCGUGGUGAAUAAGUUUUUUAUCCAUUUUUGGGAAAAUUAUCUAGAGAGUCUUAAACUUAUUGUAUUUUUACCAAUUCAGUUAUAAACUUUUCAAUUUUGUCAAUUCAGUUCUAAACCUUUUCACUUCUUGCUAAUUAAGCCUGUCUAGUUAAUUUUGGCUGAAAAUUGCUAACGUGGCCGGUUGGUGCUAAUAUUUUUUUUUUGUUACUUUUUUUUCUUGGUUUGUAGUUAGGGCCGGUAAGGGUUACUGGCCAACCCUUGCCGGCUUGAUUGAUCCUCGUUGGCCCUGGGGGAGGGCUGUGACGCCCUCAUCGACAAAAGCGAGGGCUCAAGCCCUCACUGGAUUUGGCCAAGCAAGGGUGGUGACCUUGCUCGGGUGCUUGGGGCCCUCGCCUGGCCAAAUCUAGCAAGGGCAUCGCGGCCCUCGCCCACGGCUGACGAGGGUCGGCCGGUAACUGUCACUGGCCCUAACACCAAACCCAAAAUUAAAGAAGAGAAAAGUUAAAAAAAUUCAAAAUUCAAAAUUAAAAAAAAUGGCACAUCAGCAAUUUUCAGCCAAAAUUGGUCAGAUGAACUCAAUUGGGAAGAAAUUAAAAUAUUUAGGAUCAAAUUAAUAAAAUUAAAAGGUUUAUGAAAAAAUAUAAUAGAUUUAAGACUUUUUGAACAAUUUUCCCCCCAUUUUUUAUUUGUCAUAAAUUGAUACCACGUUACAAUGCAUAUUUCAACAUCCUUCAACUCUUAGUAAGCUUUUUAUUUAGCACAUAUUCCGUACAUUUAUAAUAUUAACUUAUUUAAUAUGAGCUAUCAUGUUAUAUUUUAUUUUAUUGAUUUGUUAAUAUGAUUCACUUAUGAAAUAAACGGAAUGUUUCUCAUGUUAAGUAUCUAUAGAACUUUUUAAUCUUGAUAACCAUCACUUGUAUGUAUGUAGUCAUAUAACAGAACACUCUAACAAUAUAUUCUUUUUCCUUCUUUCAUGGACAAUUUUAUUAUAUUCACCUAUUGUAAAGCAUGUUAACUUUAUGUUAUGAUAGAUAUUUCUAGUCACAAUGGCUAUCCACACACCCUUUCAAUCAUAAUAGUUGUAAUUUAUUAUACAUUUCGCUAUACUUGUUAUAGAAUUAUAGUCAGUCAUAUAAUAGAUGCAUGUUUAUGUUUAUGUUUAUGUUCUGAUAGAUAUUUCUAGUCACAAUGGCUAUCCACACACCCUUUCAAUCAUAAUAGUUGUAAUUUAUUAUACAUUUCGCUAUACUUGUUAUAGAAUUAUAGUCAAUCAUAUAAUAGACGCCUCUAGACAUAUACUUGUUUUCUUCUUUGAUGUUUUAUUUUAUUUAUACUAUUUAUAAAGCAUGACAUAUAUAAAUUGUGAUUACGGAUAAUUACAAUUUAAUAUAUGAAUUUUAAACAUUUAAUAAUUAAUUUGUGGUCGAGAUUUAAGCUUAAUCAUAUGGUAUGUGAUCAUACGAACAUAACUAUUUUUUAUUAAAUAAUUAAUAGUACGAUUGACAUAAUAAUUAUAGCACAAUUAAGCAUUAACUAAUAUAAUUAGUAAUUAAGAUGAUCAUUUUAUUAUGAACAUAUAAUAUUAACUUAUGAAAAAUUUAGAUAACCAUAUCUAAUAAGGAGCCACUAACAUUGUGCUAAUUAGUAUAUUAUAAAUAUUUUUUAACCUAAUAACUGAUAAUGAAUAAUCAAGAUAACAUUAUCACUAUUUCAUCAACUAUUUGCCUAUUAAUUAACAUUCUAUUUAUUAAUGAUAUGAUAUGUGAUUAAAGUCAAGAUAAGUAUAAUUGAUGUUAUCAUUACAUAAUUACCACAAAUGAUUUUAGUUAUAAUUAAUAUGUACGUUGAUUAUAGUCAAUAAUAUAAUAUUGAUAGGGUUAGAGAAAAAAAAAAAAGACGUGUAUUUUGGAAAUAGCUACUGUGGCCCUGUAGUAAUAGCUAUUACACAACGGGGUGAUAGUUAUUACAAUUUGGCAACGAUAACUUUCAUUGCUAGUAGAUAUUGUAUACUAUAACAGUCAUUACUGCAACCAUGUGUUGUAAUAAUCUAAACGUACUCUGAUAAUCCAUUGCUAUAAAAUAUAUAUGUAAAUAAAGCGUAUAAAUGUGUAAAACUAAAAGGCACUGGUUAUUUGGUAAUCACAUACUUACAUUCUAAUUAAUCCUAAAAAAUUACGUGACACUAGAUUAUUGUAGAAAAUGCAAAGUCUUAAAUCUUGUGCAUAGCACAAGAAUUCUACUACUAUUAGGAUUUGCAACACUAGAAAAAUAGGGAAUCUAAGACGUAAUAUAAAGAAGUUGUCACCCAGAAAAAAAAAAGCUGCAUAAAGAAGUAUGUGUUAUUAAUAAUAAUAAAAAAGAAGUGGAAAUACAAAUGUAAUUAACUAAAGAAUAUUAGCAUAUAGUUGCAUAAUGUGUCGACGGGGACAUGAUGUGGAAGGUCAUUCAAUUUUAAGUAAAUGGGUGUUGCAUGUGAGAAGAGGCAUUUCUCCAUUUUUCUAGUUAGCCAGAAAAUUUUUUGAGUUAUGAGUAAUGGCAUAGCUCCAAGGACAUAUCUAUUGUGUAUAUAUAUAUAUAUAUAUUUUUUUUUUUUGGCACCCAGAGAAUCUUCGUGCGCCGCUUCGCGGCGGAGUAAACCCUGAAGGAGCAGUAGAGUCAUCAUUACCCUUGCUGCUUCGGGUAAGUCGUGGGUUCCUUUCUCGCAAGGCAAACAAUGCAGCUAAUCGAACUCAUGAUCUCUCUCGAAAGGAACCUGCGCUCAACCAUUACGCCGUCAUCAUGGGUGGUCAUAUCUAUUGUAUUUUGAUCUUUAAAAAAGAAAGAAUUUAUGUGCAAGACAAUUUAUUGUAUAAGUGAAGUUGAGUCUGUUUAAAAUUUCAUGUGGUCAUGCAAUGUAUUUAAAUGUAGAAAGAAGAUGAAUAGCAAAUCACAUAACAUACUAUUUCAAAAUAAAUACCUUCUAAAUUACUAUUAAAAAUACGAAGAAACUGGUCUAUUCAAACUUACCCUAAAAAAAAUGGUGUAUGUUAAUGUAAACAUAAAAGAAGUAAAUAAUAUUUAUUGAUACCACUAAGUGCAAAGAAAGAAAAGAACUAAACAUAAUACAUGAACGCUAGAUAAAGUCAUAUACAAAAUAUGCCACUAAAAAUGCGAAGAGUAUCUGGUCUAAGUAUGUAACUUCCAAGGAAAGCAUCUAUUCAUCAAAAUAUGAAUAUUGUACUAUUUGUUAAAUGUCAUUUUUAGAAGAGAAAUGUCUUUUCAUGCAAUAGUGAAGUCAACGACAUUAAUUGAUGGGUACUUCUAUUUUAUAUUCGAGAAAUUAGAGAAAUGCUAGUAGAAUAACAAACGAACCAUAUAAAUAAUCACCGGAGCCUAACUAAUCAUUAAAAAAUUCGAAAAGUGAUGCAUCUUUAAAUGUAAUACUUUGAAUGGGCACGUUCAUUAAUGAGGGUAUGGAUGGGAGCUCUACUUAUGUAUGUUAUUUAAAAUAAACAUACUAUUUUCAUGAAGUAAAUAAUAUUAGCAAUAUAUUAUUUGGAGAUCCUAUUUUUAUCAUUCAACAAAUUGUGUAUGGUCAAUCAUAAAGACCAUAAAAUAUUAAACUUGGAAGUUAGGUAUUUUAACGAUACAUACAUGACCUUAUUUUUAUAUAGAGAAUUGUCAAAUAUUACAUUUGUAUGAUAACAUAGCUUUACACUUAAUGAUAAUUAGUAAUAAAACUAAGCAACUUCAAAACCAUAUGCUUGCACAUAAGUAAUAUUAACAUAAUAUGAUUAAUCUUCAUGUCCAAUAUGUCUGUUAGCAAGGUCUUGUUAAUCUAUGGGCAAAUUGGUAAAAAAUUAGAUGAUUGCUAUUGCUUUGUAACAAAAUCAACACGAAAUGAACAGAUAGCAUUAAACAUCUAAAGUAAUAAAAAGAGAAAUAAAAAUCAUUUAUAUAACAUUUGAUAUAUGUUUUCUUCCACACGUAAUGAAAAACACUCGUUGAAAAAACAAAUGAUAAGAAAGGAAUGUAAAAUACGUGUACUUCUUGGGAUGGAAUUCUUAUUUUCAUUUUGCUAUUGAGAAUUGCAAACAAGAUACAUAAGAAAAAGAGGGGGAUUCUACAAUUGGGAUUCUUGAGUAUUGAUACAUGUUUUGAUGGCAAGUUUGAUGGAUGUAUUUGAAUUGUAAGAACCAUGUUAUUUCGCAUAUAAAGAAUAUGAAUUAGGGUUUUGUUGUUUCCCAAAUAAAGGGCAUGAGAUUUGAUAGAUAUAUUUGAAGCAGAGUGUGCAUGAAGAGAGACCUUCUAUUGUAAUUUUGAAAGGAUGCAACUUUUGGAAAUUUAAAACGUGCAAAUUGUGAAGGGCAUAAUUGGUAGAGGAAAAUUGGGGGACCCCCUCUUGAGCUUCACAUUUUUAUAUAGAUUAGAUAAGGAAUAUGUAACCACAAUCUAUCAUGUCAUGAAGUCGAAGGUGAGAACCCCACAUCAUUAUAGUACGACAACAUAGUUGAAAUAAUACAUCUUUUCUUGUAUAUAGUUAGUCUCAUCCCAUCAUCCAAUAAUAUGAUCCACAAUGUUUUUCAAUUCUAGGGCACAAGUAAAAUUGAGGCCCUUUGUCUCGACAAAGAUGAUGGGAGAGAAAGCUACACGGUUGAAAACUUUAAACAAUUGACCAGCUUGAGGUUCCUUAAAUUGAGCGGAGUGAACAUCACUGGAGAUUUUCACAACUUUCUUCCUCAAUUAAGAUGGCUUGAAUGGGAUAAUUGUUGCUUGGAUUUUGAAGAGGCUAACUUUCACCCAAAGAAAUUAAUCGUGCUUGACUUGGGGGAUAGUCAGAUUUCGGAGGACUGGGGAGGAUGGGGCCCAAUAAAGGUAAGAUGUAGAGAAGGCAUAUCUUUUAAAAAUAACCAUGUGUUAUCAACGGCCCCAAUUGUACCAAGUUCUCCUUUAUUUCUUCUGAAAAUCCUUUCUCAUAUAAUGAAUUUUCCUCUAAGCAUAAGAGGAAUUUAUAGGCACUUAAAUAUGUUAGAAGCUUUUGCCUCUUAAUAUUUCAACAACUAGUCACGCUUAACAUCAGACUUACUAAUAAAAACUCUUUUAAUUGUAUUAAUUAACAUCUAUCAAAAAUAUAAUUAUAAUAUUGUGCCAAUCUUAACUUUACUUUAAAUUGUGUAUGGUUUCUAGUUAAUUUCUCCCCAUGCAAAAUUAUGUCUUUUUAGCAAUUCUUGUUAUAUGUAUAUAUGGCUCUUCUUUCAUGGAGAGACAAAAACCCUCACAAUGACUUGUGUUUAACAUACAAACUAAAAUUCUAAAUUCAUAGUUACUUUUAGAAUAAUGGAAAUAAUUUGUGAACUAUUUUGACUUGUUGCACACAAUAUUUAUUCAUUAUUAUUGUUGAUUGUUGAAGUCAUCGUACAACACAUUUAUAAAGUAGUAAUGUCAUAUGAGUAAUAAAAUUAUCCUUGAAAUGGCAUUUAAAUAAUUUUAAUGCAACACCUUUUUUAUAUCUUAUACAUAUAGCAUUCAAAAAUUGCUUUUUAUAAUUAAAGUAGCCAUUUCUCUUUGACUUCAUAAUAUUGAAGGAAAACAUAGCACCGAGUGAAUGCAUCUCUUUUCUUCCAUUUGACUUUGUCAUUUGUAAUUUGAUAAUAAAAUUUGCAUAUGUCUAAUUAAUAAAUAACAUCAUUGUCAUAACUAUAAAAAAAUAAAUAUGAUAGUUGCUAUGAAAUUUUAUUUGCAAAUAAUUGUAGUUAGUACUUUNNNNNNNNNNNNNNNNNNNNNNNNNNNNNNNNNNNNNNNNNNNNNNNNNNNNNNNNNNNNNNNNNNNNNNNNNNNNNNNNNNNNNNNNNNNNNNNNNNNNUGAUAUGCUUAAAAACAUUUAUAUACUAGCUUAGUGAAUGCACUACUGAAAAGAAACAUUUAAAAUUAAAUAAGAUAGCUGUAAAGGAGUAGGGAGCACAAGUAUUUUUUUUGGAUCCAAUCUCAAAAUGGUGACUUCUCUUUUCUUUCAGAUGGCAAUGGAGCUCAAAGUUCUUUUCCUUUCGAAAUGUGCUUUGAGAACAACUCCCGACUUAUCUGCUUUCAAUAGCUUGAAGACUUUGUGUCUUUAUGAUUGUCAGGAUCUAGAGGAGAUUCAUCCUUCUAUCGAGGACAUUAAGACCCUCGUCACCUUGACUAUUGAAAAGUGUCAUAAAUUGAAGGGGCUAACGCUAGGAGUAGGUAGAAUGAAAGAAUUGAAGGAGCUAAUCAUAGGUGACACUCAUAUACGAGAAAUUCCUAUUUCAAGAGGUUGUUUGAUAAAGCUGAAGACUUUAGAUGCCUCAUAUUGUAGACAACUUGCUCGACUUCCAGAAUCCUUGGGCUCUUUUAUAUCAUUAACUCAGCUAAAUCUAUCAAACACAGGAAUUAAAGAAUUACCCGAAUCCAUUGGAUCUUUGAAGAAGCUCAAGACUUUAAAUGCAUCUUAUUGUGCAUCGUUAGUCUGUAUACCCAACUCAAUAGGUGAUUUAACAUCUCUAUCUCACCUUAACCUAAUAAAAUGCCAAAAAAUUGCUCAACUUCCAGACUCUAUAGGCUUCCUCGUGUAUCUAUUGUGCUUGUUAUUGUCAGGAUGCCACUCGUUAAGACAAAUCCCAGACUCGAUCGGAAAGUUGACAUCAUUGAUAGAGCUGGAUUUGGAAUCUACCGCCAUUGAAGAAUUACCUGAAUCCAUUGGUUCUUUGAAGGAGCUCAUGACUCUAGAUGCCUCUUAUUGCAAAUCGUUAGCCCACAUACCCAACUCAAUAGGCAAUUUAACAUCUCUGUCUAACCUUGACCUGAAUGAAUGCCAAAAACUUGCUCAACUUCCAGAAUCCAUAGGCUCCCUUGUGUAUCUACAGUGGUUGUUAUUGUCAGGAUGCCACUCGUUAAGACAAAUCCCAGACUCGAUCGGAAAGUUGACAUUAUUGAUAGAGCUGGAUUUGAAAUCUACGGCCAUUGAAGAAUUACCUGGAUCCAUUGGUUCUUUGAAGGAGUCAGACUCUAGAUGCUCUAUUGCAAAUCGUUAGCCCACAUACCCAACUCAAUAGGCAAUUUAACAUCUCUGUCUCACAUUUACCUGAAUGAAUGCCCAAAAACUUGCUCAACUUCCAGAAUCCAUAGGNNNNNNNNNNNNNNNNNNNNNNNNNNNNNNNNNNNNNNNNNNNNNNNNNNNNNNNNNNNNNNNNNNNNNNNNNNNNNNNNNNNNNNNNNNNNNNNNNNNNCACUCAUUGAGACAAAUCCCGGAUUCGAUCGGAAAGUUGACAUCAUUGAUAGAGCUGCAUUUGAAAUCUACGGCCAUUGAAGAAUUACCUGAAUCCUCUGGUUCUUUGAAGGAGCUCCAAGACUCUAGAUGCCUCUUAUGCAAAUCCUUAGCCCACAUACCCCAAACUCAAUAGGCAAUUUAACAUAUCUGUCUCACAUUUACCUGAAAUGAAUGCCAAAAACUUGCUCAACUUCCAGAAUCCAUAGGCUCCCCUUUUGUAUCUACAAUUCUUGGUAUUAUCCGAAUGCCACUCAUUGAGACAAAUCCCGGAUUCGAUCGGAAAGUUGACAUCAUUGAUAGAGCUGCAUUUGAAAUCUACGGCCAUUGAAGAAUUACCUGAAUCCAUUGGUUCUUUGAAGGAGCUCAAGACUCUAGAUGCCUCUUAUUGCAAAUCGUUAGUCCGCAUACCCAACUCAAUAGGCAAUUCAACAUCUCUGUCUCUCCUUGACCUAACGGAAUGCCAAAAACUUGCUCAACUUCCAGACUCUAUAAGCUUCCUCGUGUAUCUACUGUGGUUGUUAUUGUCAGGAUGCCACUCGUUGAGACAGAUCCCAGACUCGAUCGGAAAUUUGACAUCAUUGACAGAGCUGCAUUUGAAAUCUAUGGCCAUUGAAGAAUUACAUGAAUCCAUUAGUUCUUUGAAGGAGCUCAAGACUCUAGAUGCCUCUUAUUGCAAAUCGUUAGCCCACAUACCCAACUCAAUAGGCAAUUUAACAUCUCUGUCUCACAUUUACCUGAAUGAAUGCCAAAAACUUGCUCAACUUCCAGAAUCCAUAGGCUCCCUUGUGUAUCUACAGUGGUUGUCAUUAUCCGAAUGCCACUCAUUGAGACAAAUCCCGGAUUCGAUCGGAAAGUUGACAUCAUUGAUAGAGCUGCAUUUGAAAUCUACGGCUAUUGAAGAAUUGCCUGAAUCCAUUGGUUCUUUGAAGGAGCUCAAGACUCUAGAUGCCUCUUAUUGCAAAUCGUUAGCCCACAUACCCAAUUCAAUAGGCAAUUUAACAUCUCUGUCUUACCUUGACCUGAAUGAAUGCCAUAAACUUGUUCAACUUCCAGACUCUAUAGGCUCCCUCGUGUCCUUGCUGUGGUUGUUAUUAUCGGGAUGCCAUUCGUUGAAACAAAUUCCAGACUCGAUCGGAAAGUUGACAUCAUUGACGGAGCUGAAUUUGAAAUCUACGGCCAUUGAAGAAUUACCUGAAUCCAUUGGUUCUUUGAAGGAGCUCAAGACUCUAGAUGCCUCUUAUUGCAAAUCGUUAGCCCAUAUACCCAACUCAAUAGGCAAUUUAACAUCUCUGUCUCACCUUGACCUGAAUGAAUGCCAAAAACUUGCUCAACUUCCAGAAUCCAUAGGCUCCCUUGUGUAUCUACAGUGGUUGUUAUUGUCAGGAUGCCACUCGUUAAGACAAAUCCCAGACUCGAUCGGAAAGUUGACAUCAUGAUAAAGCUGGAUUUGAAAUCUACGGCCAUUGAAGAAUUACCUGAAUCCAUUGGUUCUUUGAAGGAGCUCAAGACUCUAGAUGCCUCUUAUUGCAAAUCGUUAGCCCACAUACCCAACUCAAUAGGCAAUUUAACAUCUCUGUCUCACCUUGACCUGAAUGAAUGCCAAAAACUUGCUCAACUUCCAGAAUCCAUAGGCUCCCUUGUGUAUCUACAGUGGUUGUUAUUGUCAGGAUGCCACUCGUUAAGACAAAUCCCAGACUCGAUCGGAAAGUUGACAUCAUUGAUAGAGCUGGAUUUGAAAUCUACGGCCAUUGAAGAAUUACCUGAAUCCAUUGGUUCUUUGAAGGAACUCAAGACUCUAGAUGCCUCUUAUUGCAAAUCGUUAGCCCACAUACCCAAUUCAAUAGGCAAUUUAACAUCUCUGUCUUACCUUGACCUGAAUGAAUGCCAUAAACUUGCUCAACUUCCAGACUCUAUAGGCUUCCUCGUGUAUCUACCGCGGUUGUUAUUGUCAGGAUGCCACUCGUUGAGACAAAUCCCAGACUCGAUCGGAAAGUUGACAUCAUUGACAGAGCUGCAUUUGAAAUCUACGACCAUUGAAAAAUUACCUGAAUCUAUUGGUUCUUUGAAGGAGCUCAAGACUCUAGAUGCCUCUUAUUGCAAAUCGUUAGCCCAUAUACCCAACUCAAUAGGCAAUUUAACAUCUUUGUCUUCCCUUGACCUGAAUGAAUGCCAAAAACUUGUUCAACUUCCAGACUCUNNNNNNNNNNNNNNNNNNNNNNNNNNNNNNNNNNNNNNNNNNNNNNNNNNNNNNNNNNNNNNNNNNNNNNNNNNNNNNNNNNNNNNNNNNNNNNNNNNNNNNNNNNNNNNNNNNNNNNNNNNNNNNNNNNNNNNNNNNNNNNNNNNNNNNNNNNNNNNNNNNNNNNNNNNNNNNNNNNNCUUAUUGCAAUCGUUAGCCCACAUACCCACACUCACACAGACAUUUAAACUCUCUGUCUCACCUUGAACAGAAUGAAUGCCAAAAACUUGCUCAACUUCCAGAAUCCAUAGGCUCCCUUGUGUAUCUACAAUGGUUGUCAUUAUCCAAAUGCCACUCAUUGAGACAAAUUCCGAAUUUGAUUGGAAAGUUGAUAUCAUUGACAGAGCUACAUUUGAAAUUUAUGGCCAUUGAAGAAUUACCUGAAUCCAUUGGUUCUUUGAAUGAGCUCAAGACUUUAGAUGCCUCUUAUUGCAAAUCGUUAGCCCGCAUACCUAACUCAAUAGGCAAUUCAACAUCUCUGUCUUGCCUUGACCUAACGGAAUGCCAUAAACUUGCUCAACUUCCAGACUCUAUAGGCUUCCUCGUGUAUCUACCACGGUUGUUAUUGUCGGGAUGCCACUCAUUGAGACAAAUCCCAGACUUGAUCGGAAAGUUGACAUCAUUGAUAGAGCUGCAUUUGAAAUCUACGGCCAUUGAAGAAUUACCUGAAUCCAUCGGUUCUUUGAAGGAGCUCAAGAUUCUAGAUGCCUCUUAUUGCAAAUCGUUAGCCCACAUACCCAACUCAAUAGGCAAUUUAACAUCUCUGUCUCACCUUGACCUAAAUGAAUGCCAAAAACUUGCUCAACUUCCAGACUCCAUAGGCUCCCUUGUGUGCUUGCCGCGGUUGUUAUUGUCGGGAUGCCACUUGUUGAAACAAAUUCCAGACUCGAUCGGAAAGUUGACAUCAUUGACUGAGCUACAUUUGAAAUGUACGGCCAUUGAAGAAUUACCUGAAUCUAUUGGUUCUUUGAAGGAGCUCAAGACUCUAGAUGCCUCUUAUUGCAAAUCGUUAGCCCAUAUACCCAACUCAAUAGGCAAUUUAACAUCUUUGUCUUCCCUUGACCUGAAUGAAUGCCAAAAACUUGCUCAACUUCCAGACUCCAUAGGCUCCCUCGUGUCCUUGUUGCGGUUGUUAUUAUCGGGAUGCCAUUCGUUGAAACAAAUUCCAGACUCGAUCGGAAAGUUGACAUUAUUGAUUGAGUUACAUUUGAAAUCUACGCCAUUGAAGAAUUACCUAAAAGCAUUAANNNNNNNNNNNNNNNNNNNNNNNNNNNNNNNNNNNNNNNNNNNNNNNNNNNNNNNNNNNNNNNNNNNNNNNNNNNNNNNNNNNNNNNNNNNNNNNNNNNNNNNNNNNNNNNNNNNNNNNNNNNNNNNNNNNNNNNNNNNNNNNNNNNNNNNNNNNNNNNNNNNNNNNNNNNNNNNNNNNNNNNNNNNNNNNNNNNNNNNNNNNNNNNNNNNNNNNNNNNNNNNNNNNNNNNNCAAUCCUGCAUUCCUGAAUUUUUCUCACUAAACUUUCUCAAGAGACUCACUCUUUCUAACUGGCUUAAAUGUCUCUCAAACCUUUCUAUAACAUGUUAUAGAAAAGCUAUGAAACUUGAUUUUGUAUCUUACAAAAGUUCGAGCUGUUAGUUGGGCAUUUUAUUUACCUUUUGUCUUGUGAUACAGUUCUCUUAAAGCGUUUCAAGACUCCUCCUGCCAACAACUUAGCCAUGGACUACCAAACAACAGAUGAACAUCCUUUGAAGAGAUCAAAACCUUUUGGAAUCUCAAAUGAAGUACUUAUUUCAUUUUGCUUUUUCUUUGCCGUUCUUCAGUUAUUAAAGGAUGGUUCCAUCUACAAAGAGAAGUAUUUUACUGAAUGAUCAAUUAUUUGUUAUGUGUGGAAUGCUUUGAUCAACAUUCGUAACUAGAUCCAUCAAACUUGUUACAUUCUCGCUAUUUUAAGUCUUUUGUUCUGGAAGUAGGGAUUUUAGUUUUCUUGAAUUAUGAAGUUAAGGUGGAAUAUAUUGCCCGUUCUCUUGUGUUUCUCUCUCUUAAUUAUCUUUAUUUGCACGCCAUUGAUCGAAAACUUUUUGAAAGCGCACUCAUUUGGGUGCUAUUGCGGCAUAUGAUCAUGCAUUGAGAAUCUUCACGAGUGUAGGGGUUAUCUCACAUCAGUUGUGGAAGGAAAAAGUAGUUAGUUUAUAAUUGUGAUGGAAAGUCUCAUCCUUUAAGUUAGCUUUUAAGAUGAGAUAAGCCCAAGACCACCCAACAAAAAAAAACUUUUAGUUUUGAGGUUUCUAGAUACCCUUAAUCUUCAUGAUGUUAACCUAAUGAAAUUAUUGAAGAUUGGAAGGAUAACAAGAAAGUUUGAUGGAGAGAGAAAGGAGCAAAAGGGCUAGGGUUGUCAAUUUGUGUCCUCUUGUCAUAAUUGUGUUUGUGAUUGUGUCAAUUCAUCAUGACUUCUAUUAGACAUGUCAACCCAUUGAAUUAGAUGAAAACAUGUAAAUAUCUCAUCAAGUUAAAUGUAUCGUGAUGUGUCAUAUUGGGUUGUGUUUGUGUUUUUCGUGUUUGGUAUUGUUAUGUAAACAGUAUGUGUCACUAUUGGCAGCAUUAAUGAGAAGCGUGGACUGGAUAGGUGUUGAUUAUGUCUCCUCCCAUCAUGCAUGCAUUGUGCUCACGUAUGCUAGUACAAGAGGGGCUCUCAUAUGAGUCUUUUGCAUCUUUUGAGUGCCAUGGUUUUGAUCAAUUUUCUAAAGGACUCAUUAGUUUUGUAAUCUUCAUGACUUUCUAAUAGGUGAAUAAUUUGCCGGGAAAGAUUUUUCCCAUUACAUACAACUACCAGAGCUUUGGUCAGAGUUCUUAUUCUUCAGAUGACUUGCCUAGAAAUGUAGUCGUUACCCUAAGUCAUGAUUCACUUGUUAAAAGUAUGGAUUUCCAUCCAGUGCAACAAAUUCUACUGCUCGGUUAGCACUUCUUUCUUACUCUAUGAAGAACUUGUUUCUUGAUCUUCUUUAGUUGGAUAUACUUGUUGGCCAUAAGUUUGUGUUUUGGUGCUUGGAAGAUUCCUGUUUGUUGUUUUUUAUGCUCGCUUCAGCUAUUUGAAACCAAGGGAUAUGAUUCUUCAAAUUUUCUGCAUCAAUAAUUUUUAGUGGGAACAAAUACGGGUGAUGUCAUGGUAUGGGAAGUAAGCAACCGUGCAAGGAUUGCUUUGAGAAAAUUCAAGGUUUGGAAUUUGGGAACACGUUCAAUGGCGUUGCAGGUAUAUAAGUUCCACUCUAAAUAAAGUCAUGUAUCUUGUUUUUGGACAUGUAAUUGGGGGUUUUGAUUCUUUGUAGGCUUCUCUAGCCAAUGACUAUACAGCAUCCAUUAAUCGUGUAACGUGGAGUCCUAAUGGACUUUAUUUUGGUAUGUACAGAUGUCACUUCUACUUGUCUUAUUGCAAAUUGAUGAAACAACUAACGCGCUGAGAAUGAGACUUCAUUGCAAUAUUUUCAGGAAAAAUGUUCAUAUGCUGCUAUUACUGAUGAUUUGUGGUGUUCACUUUAGGUGUUGCUUAUUCCAAACACAUGGUGCACAUAUACUCGUAUUACGGUGGUGAUGACAUGAGGAACCACCUUGAGGUUUGUUGCUAAACAAGGAGUGAAAAAAUUCGGCUUCUUUUUGUAGACAAUUGCCACAUAAAAGUGAGUAAAACUUGAUUUUGACUCUAAACUAAUGUUUGAUACAGCUCGAGGCUCAUGCUGGAAGUGUUAAUGAUCUUGCCUUUUCAUAUCCAAACAAAUGGUUAUGCGUUGUGACCUGUGGAGAGGACAGGUCAAUCAAGGUAUAUCUUGAUUAUUUUCCUCAGUGUUGCAGCGUUCCAUCGUUUGAUCCCUUAACUAAGCUAGUAGUUUUGUAGGUAUGGGAUGUAAUGACUGGGGCUAAGCAAUACUGUUUCAAGGGUCAUGAAGCACCUGUAUAUUCUAUUUGUCCACACCAUAAAGAAAAUAUCCAGGUACUUGAUUAUUUCACGUACUAACAAAGACACCCUGCGAGCAUGGCCAAUCAGAUGUACCCUUGACUAUACACUAGACUUUUGUUUUCUAAAACUCAGUUAGGUAAAAAAAAAAUUGGUUCAAUUUGUAUGAGGAGUAUGAACCUAUGUUUUGAAGGACCUUGUUCAUUUCAAGGGUUUUGCAAGUCUUCCGACUUUUAACCUGUCUUGAUUAGAAUGUGCUUGUCAAACAUGGUGAAAUUGGUCCAAAGAUCAACCUACUAAUUUGAUUCUUUCAAGUAAUGCUACUAAGCAUCGACAACUAGGUAAAGGUCUUUGCAAUAAUGACUUCCUGCUUAAUUAUAUAUUCAAAAAGAAAAUUCCUCUACUACCAUUGAUUGUUCUCCCUUAGUUUUCUCUUUUAGUCACGAUUGGUUAAAUUUAUAAUAGAAGGCUGUUUAUUGUGUUUGAGUGGAGCAGCAAUUGGCAAUGUUAUCUUCUUCUUCUUCUUCUUUUUAAACAUUUAUGGUUGUGCAUAGUGUACACUUUAUUACAAAGAUGUCUUAUGAAAUCUCAUCAUUCUAGGAUGCUAUGUUUAAAUAAUUAUAGUUUAAGUGGAUGUGCUCUAUUUGGGCAUGUUACUGAAAUUGGUUAUACAAUUGUUUUAUCGUGUAGUUCAUCUUCUCAAUAGCAACAGAUGGGAAAAUUAAGGCUUGGCUUUAUGACAACAUAGGGUCAAGAAUUGACAACGAUGCACCGGGUCACUCUUCUACCGUGAUGGCAUACAACGCCGAUGGAAAAAGGUUUAGACCAUCAGCAUUGUAUAUCAAGCUUGAUUUCAUCCCGAGUCUUUCUUUUUCACUGAAAUAACCUAUUUUAGCGAUUUUAAUUUGCUAUAGGUUGUUCUCGUGUGGGACCAAUAAAGAAGGAGAGUCAUACUUGGUUGAAUGGAAUGAAAGUGAGGGGGGUAUCAAGCGUACAUAUCAUGGACUUGGAAAGAGUUCUAGUGGGGUUGUGCAGUUUGAUACCAUCAAAAAUAGAUUUUUGGCUACUGGUGACGAGUUCAUUAACAAAUUUUGGGAUAUGAACAAUGAUAGCCUACUUACAAGUACCGAUGCUGAUGGUGGAUUGCUGGUAAUUCACUGUUGUUAAUUUAUUUUGACUGAAUUAACUGAAACUUUCUAUUAAUUACCUCACUCUUUAAAUUUGCAGGCUUCACCUUGUAUUAGAUUUAACAAGGAAGGAAUCCUGUUAGCCGUCUCAACAAGUGAUAAUAGCAUCAAAAUUCUAGCAAAUUCAUUUGGGAUUGAGCUGCUAAGGACUGCAGAAAAACAUAUGCUUCUAGAGUCACUGCUAGGAGUCUUUUGAAGGUAAGCUUUUUUAACAAUACACUAACUUUAUGUAAAGAAGUCACUACUAGUCCAUUGUGGUCGGCUAAAACCCAAGGACUUGAUUACACUAGUUAUUUAAUUAAUGCUCUUUCAGUACCUAGACUUGAUUUAACUAAGUGUCCAUGCAGUCUUGGACCCUUUUAUUGACCUAUGCCACUUAAUUGGUGUCCAUGCAUGAGUGCACAAUAAAGGAAAAGUAAACAAUCAUUAUUAAUUCAACAAAAGUAAAGUAUAAGAAAAUACACCUAAUGAAGUGCCAAGCGAAGAAUACACAUGGCUUUGUUUUUAAGCCUCAAGACAACAACCUUGUAAGCUAAAUUCAAAUUAAGUCCAAUUCCUUUUCUCAAACACUAUUCUAUGUAACCUCACCUAAAUCAAAGGCACUCAUUAAAAUCUCUAAACCAUAUGUAGAGUAACUAAAACUAGAAGAAACUAAGCUACAUCUAGCACUAAAACUUAACGACCUAAUCAAGGUCUUUGUUAUUAACCAUUUUCCAAUUUUUCAUAUUUUCGAUUUUUUUUGAAAAUUUAAUUUUAAUUAUUUUCUGAAAAUAGGAAAUCGGGCCGGGCCCUUGGGCCUGGUCCGGAUAUGAGCCUCAUACUGGUCUCACGAAUCUGGGCUAAUGGACAAAAUUCGGGCUAUUAUAUCCAGAUCCAUCCAAUUCUAACUCUACUGAGCCCAAUUCAGAUUAUACCUAUUUUAAGCCCAUUUACCCAUGGAAGCUACUCUAGCUCACUUUCUCAUCUAACUGCACCAAGUCCAUCUUUAAGCCCAAUUUCUAUUACAAAUAGAUUAAACCCUAAGCCCACGCCAACCCUAUCUUACUAUUAUUAUUUUUAAUCCAUUUUUUCCUCUUUUCUUACAUCUUUCGUCAUUUUUUAUUAUUAUAAAAGUAAUCAAUGUUAGGUGUGCGAAGAGCCCCCCCUUUUUUUUAAGAGACUACCUGGUAAACUUUCCUGCAGUAACUUAAGCUAUAAAGGAUGGGUGAUGUAGCUUUUGUAAGGUCUUUGACAAAUAUUUCACAACUUUUUAGGAAAUUGCUUCGCCCGAUUUUGGGAUGUUGGAGCUGCUGUCGACGGCAUUGGGAAACAAUUUGGUAAAAGAAGUUGAAUUAACCUUCCAGCAAAGAAUUAUAAAGUGGAGAUGGUCAAUGGCAUUGGGAAACAAUUUGGUAAAAGAAGUAUUUCUAAGAGGUAUAAUAAGUCAGAACUCAACAAAAACGUCAGUGGAAGUGUUCAAUCAUGAAGAAGAAGAAGAAGCAAAACACCAUUCACUAAGGGAUAACUCGUGCACGCAGAAGGGAGGAAGCAGGGGAAAAUGGCUCCAUCUUCCAUCGUCUCCAGUCACCAUUGGAUAACCUUUCGUCGCGGUGUCUCAAGUUCCGAUAUAGCCGCUAGCUACCAUCGCCGUUCAUUACGAGUUCCAACUCCUUCGUUGGUUGCGCCGUCGACCAUCAGUCUCAGGAGGAUCACGUUUGUUCAUUUCAUCGCGAGCACCAUUCCAGAACCAAAACAAACAAAAACAUCGAGCAAGGAAAAUUCAUCUAAAAAAAGCGAUUCCGUUCGAUUCAGUUGGCGAUUUCAAGCGUUCUGAAUCGAUCACAGUGGCCGUCGCCGGCAUCAACAGCCUCUUCAAUGCCGCGACUCAUCUCCUUCGUUUCCCUUCAACGGCCGAGAGCUUCGAAAUGUUGUCGUUCCGCUCGAAGCUUCUCCACCUGUUCAGGUUUCGAUCAUCGACACGUUCUAGAGCUUCUUUCAGCGAUUCGUGCGCCAAACCGCGGCCUCAGUCCACUUGAUUAAGCAGGUAGCAUCUCCUGUUCUGUUGUCACGAGUAAGAGGCCGAGAGUCUGAUUCUCUUAUUAUGAUGAAAUUGAUCAUAUUUGAAUUUUUUUCUUUGACUUCGAACAUCAUGUACUGAUUUAGGUUGAGUCUAGUUGUAAAUUCGAGUUCGAAAUGGCUUUGAUAUGUUCCACAACCGAUUGACCAUAAUCUGUUCGAUGAAAUGUGUCUGAGACCCUGUUGUGAAUUGAUUCCAGUAAUCGUCCGAUCUGAAAAAGCGCAUUAGUGAUGUUCACUUGAUAUUGUUUGAUUUUUCAAUCUUUAGACAUGAUUACGAGUAUAUGCCAUAGUUGCCAAGAAUAAAACUGACUCUCCGCAUGUUUUCUCAGUGCUUCUUGUGAUCCUUUGGUGAUAGGUGGUGGUUGCCGGCAAGGGGAGAUGGAAUGGAGUCGCUGGCACAUGCAUUAGUCUUUGGUGAUGAUCGUAGCAUGCCCUGUUGAACAGAAUCGAGACGAUGUCGCUGAGCGUUAAUCGCCAAUUCAGAUAAUGAACUGCGGCCGACACAUGUUGCGGUCACUAACGGGAGCAAUGUUAUGCCUAGUCACUAUCCGCGUCCUUGCCACUGAGUCACCGUGCAAUCUCCUCGACUGCCAAGCUUUGCUUCAGUCCAUGCCUUGCAGACCAUCCUUGCCAUUGCAAUUGCUGUGCCACACCUUACCAUAAUGGCUAUUCAAGUGAACUCCGCAUGCGAUAGCACUGCCAUCAGAAUAAACCGCCAUACAUUACCAUUAUGGAUUGAUGUGGCAAUAGAGCUAUAUCCAUCACGUGUCUUUACAAUCGGUUGUUUCCGUUCCAACUGAGUUUUAGAGUCCAUUGUAUGUUCAGAUUUCCUUCGCUGCUUUGUUUUAAUGUUCAGGAUUUUGCGAGUCUUCUUAAACCGAAUCAUGGGAAAACUAAAUGGUUCGAAGUCCAGUCGUCAUGGGGUCGAUACUUUGUUGUAAAAUCAUUGUGCAUUACCUGCUUCCUGAUUCUUGUCUUGUCCUUUGGUUAUUGGUUACUUCACCUUCGUUGAUUUCAUUGUCCGGAAGUAGGUAAUCAAUCCAAGAGCACCUGCUAAAAUUGCAUUUUAGUUGUGUCAUCUGCUUCCUGCCUCAUUCUCUGUGAAUGACAUUCUACUUCUUGCGUGCUGUUGAGGGAAAUCAAUGGUUGACAAUCGAUAUGAAGUGAGCAAGUUAUACUUGUUUCCUGUCUUUAGUUGAUAACUUUUUGCGUAUGACAAUCGAUUAAUUAAACCAGUCCAUAGCUUGCACGAAAAUAGUAAAUGAGGAUUUACUUCUUUCUUGGAAUUAUCAAUGUCAUCGCUUUGUCUCUGGUAGUGGAAGAGUUUAUCAUUCUUUUUGAACUUUUUGAACUUGUAUAAGAAUCAAUGGAAUUCUCAUGGAGCAUUGAGUACCCAAAAUUUACAAGUUAUAUGAAGUGGUGGUGUCCUUUUGUUGCAUAUGCUGGAGUUUAGCGGUUAGUGUUCAUCUAUGUUUGUUGAACCGUUUGAUUUAUCACUUCAAUCGACAAAAUCUCAUAAACAGACAUGACAAUUGCGAGAGACGUCUUUGAACUGGCACUUUGGUGAUGAUGGUGCUCCUUCGUGUCGACUGUAUUUACUUGUUUGAGGAAGAAUCAUUUAUGAUAUUUUAUGAUAUUGGAGAAGUGAAUAUGUAUGGAAGGUUCCUUGGAUUCACAAGAAUAAAACCACUCGUGAUCCUGGAUCCACUCAUUGAAGAAAUGGAGAGAGAGAAUUUCCACAUGGACGAUGUGAAUGGGUCGUUGCUAAGCUUCUCGGCUGUUUGUUGAAUUUGAUUUGCAUAAUGGGUUGAAGCUAGCAUUUUAGUAGUGCUGGAAUUCCAAAACUGAGACGAACUGAAGAAUUUGAUGUUAAGUAUCUAAGCAAUGCCCACAAUUAGUAACAUGUUCUGAGCUAAUCAAGGUUUGUCAUCUGAGUAUAUCGCCAAGUAGUGCAUAACUUAGUCCUUUUUAGAGUAAUGCAUCAUUUAGUUAGAAAUUCGAGCAUGUUUAGAUUAGUACUUAGCUCAUGUGGGUUACUGUCUCGGGCUUAGCUCGAGAAUUCCAGCACAUUAUGACUGGAUGUAUAACCUUCCACAUCAUACAAAACCACAUAUCAGACGAACCCAAAGAUUUUCCGUUGUUCCACAAAUUAAGCAGGCUGGCACUUUAUCUUGCUGCUGGCAUAGUCGGCAAACCUGAUAAAGAACAGAACCAAAAUCUUAUUCACAAUCAGUUCAAAGAUGGGCACCCCUGAUGAUGUCGCAGUACGUAACCACAUUUCCGAUAAAGUUAAUCCUUGCAGUCAAUCAAGUAUGUGCCAUACUUGAAAUCUUUAGCAAUGUAAUUGAACCUUCCAAGAAAAUCAAAGGAAGACCCUUGGCACGGCACCAGCCUGGGGUAAUGUUGUAUUGACUUAUUUUAAACAUAAAGAUUGAAGAAUCAAGCGAAUGUGCACAUGUCCAUCAACGUAUGUCUUACAGGGCAUUUUUUUCAUCUUCAUAUAUAUAUUCGAGUUCAAAGGUACAUUUUUGCUACAAAUUCAUGUGGAUAGAGCGCAAUCACAAUUAAGUAGAAUAUCACUUGAAAUGUAAAAUAUAACCAUGCACCAUCUUAAUUAAGAGCCUGGAGAAGUUUAAGGUGAGGUGAGUAUAUAAGUUUAACACAUAAACUCAAUAUUUUAUGUUUGGACAGUGCUAUUACUUUCGUCACCAUUUGACUCACAAGAAAUAUGACGUAGAAGUGACAGGACCAUCAAAUCUAAUAACCAUGAUGAGACACUGCAAAUAUUCUCAUGUGAGAGUAUGAGAAACAACAGAAAAACAAGUCCAAGAAGCCACACAUUGACAUAUUCCAAAUCACCAAAGAAAUGUCAUAAUAAUUUAAAAAGAAAUCCAAAACUUUGUAAGCAAGAUAGAGUAAAGAUCUAACAUAAGCCUGAAUGAAAAAAAAAAGAUUUUUUUUUUUAUAUACUUUUCAUCCCUGUACUGCCACCUUUUUAUGUAAUUAUGUCCAUAUACCUUAAACUUGUCGAAUCAAGUCUUUCUAUAUUUACAAAUUUACUAAUCAAGACCCAACCAAAUUUAAUUGACGUAACCCUCGAAUGAUGCCCCAAUAUGAUGCAAAUGCUCACGUAGACAUAUGUGGAAAAAUUUAGCCAAUGUAGACAAUGUUAGAAUGUGACAUGGAUAAAAUUUAGCUAAGGUGUUAGUCAAAGUAACGUCCAUAUUGGAGAUUUUUUUAUCUAUGUCACACACUGACAUCAUUUGAUGAUUACGCCAACUGGAUCUGGCAGGAUUUUGUGUUUAUUGGGAUUUGAUUAGAAAAAUUUGUUAAAUUUGAAUGACUUGACUCGACAAAAUAAAAGUACGAUGGAGAGAACAGUAAAGUAGGGAAUAUUUCAAAAAACCAACCGCAAAUCCAGUCAGCAAAUAUCAGCAAAAGAUAGUGGCAGUUGCUGAGAAAUUAUGGUCUAAACUACUCUUAUCUGCACCAGCAAAAGAAAGCCUCACCUGACAAGACAACUAAGUCUAUUUUGUACCACAUGAGCAAUGAAUGGAAUGGUCACUCUUGAGUACUCAAAAUUCCGCUGGUGUGUGGGUCCGAUCUCAACGACAUCAAAAGCCAAGAAAAGGUCGCGACUGUGAACAUGUCUAUAAACUUAGUCUCAUUUUAUCAUAUGCUUUGACAGGGAACAAAAUUUCUAAGCCAAACUAGCAGCUGUGAGGGAAAUAUAUUCAGCAAGGGAUGUUGACACCUAAAAUUUGAUGAUCUAGUUAAUUAUUCAUUGCAAAAAUUAAGUAAAAUUGAGGAUUGAUCCCGGUCCCUAAAAAGAUAUUAGCUAAGUUGCAUAUACAUAUUAGAAGCAUUUUUCAUUCAUUAAAUAGUAAGCCCACAUAUGAUUACACUUCGAUUGGACUGGUGUAAGGAGAUUAUGAGCUUAAUUGAGUUUAUUAGACUAAGCCCAUGAGAAUGAGAAAUUCGGCCUAACCCGUCUAUUUCCUUUGCUCGACCAGACAUCAAAUAUGCAGUAUAAGGAAUUUAGCACGAAUGAAGGAGCAAAUAUUCGUUAUUAAGGAAUAUAUUCUGAAUAAUUUUUUGGGAGAAUUAACUGGCCAAUUCUUUCCAUUAUUAAAGAUGCGCAUCAUGCUUAAAGUAGGCAAGUUAAUUUUUCUUAGUCAAAUCUGGAAGUAAUUGAACACUAUUUGAAAGGAUAAAAACAAAAAUAGAAAAAUAAAAAGGAAUAAAACAGGGAAAAAGUACAAAAAAAGUCAUAAACUAUUGCAUCGAUAUCAAUUCAAUUCUAAAAUUUUCAAUUAAAUCAAUUAAAUCAUAAAUUUUUUCACAUUGGUACUAAUUUAGUCAAUUUGACCAAUUUUGGUCGGCUAGUGGCCAGAUGUUGACGUAGCAAUUUUUAAAUAAUUUUUUUGAAUUUUUUUAUUAAUUUUUCCUUCUUCUUUUUUUCCCUUUUCCUUUUCUCUCUUCUUCCACCUUAAACUAUACUCACGGUGGCCAGCAAACCUUUGGUGAGGCUCGCCAACCAUUGGGCGAGGGCCGUGAAGCCCUUGUCGGCCGCUAGUGAGGGUCGUGGCCUUCGCUUAGCCUUGCCCAAGGCCGCGAGCGAGGCUACUUUGCCUAGGUCCAGGUGAGACCAGCCUCGCCCUAGCCUUGCCUUAGGCGAAGGCGGCCUCGCCCGUGGUUGGCAAGGCCAUGGCGGCCAUCGCCAAGGCCUAAGCAAAGGUCACCAUGUCCUCACCUGCAGCCCCGGGCGAGGGUGUGACCCUCCCUGGCAACUGGCCAGUGCUUCGCGGCCCUUGCCUAGUGGUUGGCGAGCCUUGUGGGAGGCUUGCUGACCACCGCGAGUAUAGUUCAAGGAGGAAGAAGAGAGAAAAGAAAAGGAAAAAGGAAAAGGGAAAAAAGGAAAAAGAAAAGGAAAGGAAAAGGAAUUAUUAUAAAAGAUUAAAAAAAUUAUUAAAAAUUGUCACAUCAUUGUCUGGUUAGCGUCCACAUCAGUGUCGGCUUGCCAAAAUUAGCCAGAUGGAAUGAAUUGGUACCAAUAUGAAAAUGUUUAAGACUAAAUUGAUUCAAAUGAAAAAGUUUAGGACUAAAUUGGUACAAAUGCAAUAAGUUUAUGAUUUUUUUGGUACUUUUCCCAAGAAAAUGGUGAAGAAAGAAAGAGAAUGAAGGAGCAGAGGACGCCGACAAAGAGGAAGAGGAGGGAGCGAAGCCAAUGGUAGCGUGGGAGGAGCUAGGGUUGGAGGCGGCGGCGGUGACGAAAGGGAGGGGGUGAAGGAGAAGGAGAGAGGGGAGGAGGAGUUAGGGUUUACGGUCACAAGCAAAGAAAGAAAAGAGAAAACAAGAAAAAAGAAAGGAAAAGAGAAAACAAGAAAAAGAAAAAAAGAGAGAAAGAAAUAAGAAAAAAAAUAUAAUAUUAACAAAUUCAAAAUUUUUAGUUAGUAAAAUUUUUAGGAAUAAAUUUUUCAUUAUCUAAGGACUUUAAAACAUUUUGGAAAAUGUUUUCCAAUUCUUUCAAAUAGAAAUCGUUUUUAUGAAUUUAAGCUUUGGAGGGAAAACCUAUUCUAUUGAUUAGGAAAAUAGUUUAUGUUAACUUAUUUUCCUAAGUGAAUCAAACACUGGUAAAUGAGGAAAACGCUUAUUUAGGAAAUUGUUUUUCGCAAAACAAACACACCCUUCACUGUGUUCCCAAACACCUAGGGAGCUAUAGGACAUUAGUGUUCGCCGACACAUUUUCUAGGAUUGCCUUUUCCACAUUUUAUUUUUCAAAUUUCCAUGUUCUUUAACAAUAUUUCGGAAAAUGAAUGAUACAUGGGGGGAAAUUAGGAAUUCAACAUGAAACGUUGCAAACUAUUAAUUUGGAGGAGAGAGAUAAAAAUGAUUAGAUGGAGUGUAAAGACUGGAUAAUCUUUAAAUAUGAUGCAGCAUGGAGAAAUCUAAUUUGAGAAAAUUAUUUCGAAAGAGAUUUAUUUUGAGAGCUACUUUCUCGGUCAAAUCUCUUUUGAAAAAAGUAAUGCGUCCCGCACACUUUUAAUAACAAUAUCCUAUAUAAUCCCACGAUUGAUAUGCUUUUGUUAUCGACUCAUGUUCAUUAGCAGCUUCGACCAAAAAAAUGAAGAAGAAGAAAAAAAAAUGUACAUUAGCAACAGGAGAAGGUGAUUGUCGGUAACCACUGGGAGUUCGCCCCAAUGACCACUCUUCCAACUUGGAAGGGGGAUGUUGGGAGUUCAAAUUCCUAACUUCGCGGGGGGAUUGGGGUGGGGAUGAUUUCAUUUCAAGAAUGGAUUUCGACUCCCACGUCCUGCAAUGAGGCAGGGCAAAAGUCUGAAAGUGAGUGUUAGAGUAAGAUUAUAGUAGGAUCGAAAAAAAGAAAAAAGAUGACUGUUGGUCGUUAGUUGUCUUUUUCUAUUCUGUCUAGUAAUACAAAAGGCUAGCCAAGUCAGACAAUGCUGGAGGAUCUCAAAUCUCAAUGAAAGCACAUGCAUGCACCAUCCUCGUAUAAUGCUGAGGAUCGGCGGAGAUCACAGCUGGCGCACGUGAGUAUUGCUCGUUGGUUCUCUUUUCUAUUUUCUUUCGUUAAUAUCGAAAGGCAAGUCAAGUCAAUCCGUACUGGAUCUCAAAUUUUGAUCAAAGCACCAGGCACGUGAUUGCAUGUGAGUAAUUGCUCGUUGGGUUCCGCACACAUUCCGCAAGAUGCUGCGGAAACUUCGCGUGCAAUGACUGUUCUUUCCGCGGCAUGUUUCGCUGCGGUUCGAUUAGCAUGAAGAGACUUCGACCGUUGGAUAGCUAGGCCCCAACAUUAUAUGCUUUGCACAAAUAGCCCCGGUCGAUCUUUUCAUGCGUCAACAAUUUUUAUCUAAUUAAUUUGACUAACCCAUAUAUAUAUAUAUAUAUAUCCGGAUGGAGAGGAAAUCCUAUUCAGGUAGAUAAAUUUCCACCGUAUAAUUCUAAUAAUGGAAAUUUGGUUCAUUCACUCUAAAUAUUUUGCCUUCCAUACCCAAAAUUUAGGACCUCACUAAUUUCAUCCUUUGCACUUCUAUAUCCUCAAGAAACUUUGAGCCUGCAUACAUCUUUUCUCUUGACAAUGUAAAUGGUUUAUAAAAUUUUUUUAGCCCUGAUUACAUCCUAGAUUGCAGUUUGUUUUAGGGAGGGUUUUAUCCGUUGAGCACACGCACUGAUUAGUAAAAGCAUCGCCAGGAGAAAAAAAUGAACUUUAUGGUUCUUCCCUAAACUUUAAUUUGCUUUCUCUUCGCUAGUUAAUCUUUCCUAUGUGCAUAUACUUGCUUCGUUCUUCCAUAACGAAACAUGUAAUUGGUAAAUUGUCGAACUUGUGAACUACAAUAUCCACUAUUUUAUCAAGUCUCAUUUUUUUUUUCCAUUUUUAAUUUGAGGUAGUACAUUAAACAUGCUAACAAAAUAGAAUCUAAAUAGGAAACAAAAAUAAAAAUAAAACAAUUGGCUAUGGUGCAAUAUUAUAUAGCAAUAUAAUUGGUCUAGGUCGUGAUAUUGUAGUGUAGUUGGUUUAUAAUAUCCAAUCACUAAUGACAAACGACUAUAACAAGUACAUAGAUCUUUUUCUUUUCCAUUUUUUUAAUUGAUAUGAGAAGGAAAAUAUAUUUAUAGGAUUAUAAAUAUUAAGAGAGAGAAUAGAUCUUGCAUUGCCAACAAAGCAACAUGGCAAAAAAGUUGUAUAAUACCUUAAGAUUGCUUCAUUUGCAGUACCUUUAUUAAAGAUAUAUAAAGUUGUAUAAUACCAAUGGCUAAGAUAUUAAGUGUAAUACUCAAAUAUAACCUUGUUUAAGAGAUAAUGACGACAAAGACAGCGAUAAAUAUGCCCUAUCCAAUAAGUAACUCACCGAUAAAAUACGAUAAAACCCAACUCGCCCUCGAGUGCUGUCGGAAUAUUAUUGCAAAUACAUCCAUGAAGCCAUCGAUAGAAGACACGUACUUGCAAAUACAUCCAUGGUCCAUAUUUGAAAUUCAGCACUCAAAAUUUUUAGUGAUUAUUUUUCAGUUUUAUCUUAACGGCACGUACUCGCAGCUUAUUUUUCACAAACGAAUUUAAGUUCAGCAUUGGCAAAAAAAAAAAAAAAAAAAAACAAGUUGAGUCGAGUUGAAAGUCGAGUUAUAGUACAUAAGCUUUGACUCAAAAUUACCAGUGCAAUCGUUUACUUUAAGUAGUUAGAGUACAAUGUUGAAUAUAUUUUGUCUUAACAGUUCAUUUGGUUUAACUUCUAGCUUUUUCUUGACGAUAAAGCAAGAAUUAGGUACAUAAAUUCACAAAUCAAUAAAUAAUCCACUAAUGCAAAGGAUCACACAAGACACAGGUCCCUAGUUAUGAAACCAUUUUAUGCUUACAAACGCGAGGAACCAAACACACGUCAUGUAUCUAGUUUCCAUACACUAAUUUUUGCUUUCCUUUCUCUUGCAACUCACACAGUUGAACUUUUGUUUAACAUAAAUAACUUAAAAGAUUCAAAAUGUGUAAAUACAGUCACGUAGAUAAUUAUACAAAUCUUUUUGUAAUUAACUUAAAUUAUAUAUUAAUUUUUUAAAUGUUAAACAUUUAUUAUGUUAUACCAAAAUUAUCUUGAAAGAGGUAAUACACCAGGCCAAAGUAAGGAGCCACCUCAGUUACCGUCGAGUCCACGUCCGUGUGGCCAUGCAGCGUUGUCGUCGAGGUCCGAGGGGCGAUGGAUAUUCCUGUCUCCUUUUUCAAAAGCCGAAGUAAUCACUCCGAAAGUCCAACCCCCAUGUCGCCUCGGUUGGGAAGUACACAGGAACUCGCUCGGUCCGCGCGCCACGUGAGGUCGAGGGGCAAGUCGGAGUGGCAGAAGAUAUCCUCGAGGUCCGAGGCGGGGACCCCGCUUAGGCUUCGGUUUCAGAGCAGCUGACCGUCGUAGCGGUCAAACAAGUACGUGCCGCACUUGAAAUCUCUAGCAACGUAAUUGAACCUUGCAAUAAAAUCAAAGGAAGAACCUCGGCGCAUCACCAGCAUAGGAGACCACCAUAUUGACUUCAUUUAAAAAGAAAGAACGACGAAUCAAGCAAAAGUUAGUAUGUACAUAUCCAUCUAUGCAUCUCUUACGGGGCGCUUUUUCAUCUUUUAAUAUAGACUCGAGUUCAAAGGUAAUUUUUUGCUACAAAUUCACAUGAAAAUAGCAUAAUUACAAUCAGUAGAAUAUCACUUGAAAUGUAAAAUAUGACCAUGCACCAUCUUAUCUAAGAGCCAAGUUUGAGAAAAGACUACCAAAAACCCUAAACUUUACCAAAAGUGACAAAUUUAUCUCAAACUUUUUUUGUGACGUGAAAAACCUAAAACUUUUCAAAUUGUAACACAUUUACCCAAUCAAGGGCAUUUUUGUCUUAUUUUUUCUCUUUUUUUUUUCUUCUUCUUCCCUCUACUGGCUAUGGUGGAGGGAAGCUGGCAUCCCGGCGAGGGCUGCCCUUAUCGACGUUGGGCUAGCUCAUGCGAGGGUCGUCUCGCCCUGGGGCUUGGCUANNNNNNNNNNNNNNNNNNNNNNNNNNNNNNNNNNNNNNNNNNNNNNNNNNNNNNNNNNNNNNNNNNNNNNNNNNNNNNNNNNNNNNNNNNNNNNNNNNNNNNNNNNNNNNNNNNNNNNNNNNNNNNNNNNNNNNNNNNNNNNNNNNNNNNNNNNNNNNNNNNNNNNNNNNNNNNNNNNNNNNNNNNNNNNNNNNNNNNNNNNNNNNNNNNNNNNNNNNNNNNNNNNNNNNNNNNNNNNNNNNNNNNNNNNNNNNNNNNNNNNNNNNNNNNNNNNNNNNNNNNNNNNNNNNNNNNNNNNNNNNNNNNNNNNNNNNNNNNNNNNNNNNNNNNNNNNNNNNNNNNNNNNNNNNNNNNNNNNNNNNNNNNNNNNNNNNNNNNNNNNNNNNNNNNNNNNNNNNNNNNNNNNNNNNNNNNNNNNNNNNNNNNNNNNNNNNNNNNNNNNNNNNNNNNNNNNNNNNNNNNNNNNNNNNNNNNNNNNNNNNNNNNNNNNNNNNNNNNNNNNNNNNNNNNNNNNNNNNNNNNNNNNNNNNNNNNNNNNNNNNNNNNNNNNNNNNNNNNNNNNNNNNNNNNNNNNNNNNNNNNNNNNNNNNNNNNNNNNNNNNNNNNNNNNNNNNNNNNNNNNNNNNNNNNNNNNNNNNNNNNNNNNNNNNNNNNNNNNNNNNNNNNNNNNNNNNNNNNNNNNNNNNNNNNNNNNNNNNNNNNNNNNNNNNNNNNNNNNNNNNNNNNNNNNNNNNNNNNNNNNNNNNNNNNNNNNNNNNNNNNNNNNNNNNNNNNNNNNNNNNNNNNNNNNNNNNNNNNNNNNNNNNNNNNNNNNNNNNNNNNNNNUGGCUUCCUUUCACGGAUUCCGCCAUGGCCGGCAGGGGGAAGAGAGAAGAAAAAAAAAAAGAAAAAGAAAAGUAAAAAGACCAAAAUGCCCUUUAGUUUAUGAUAAAUGUGUCACACGACAGAAGUUUAGGAUUUUUUAUAUCACAAAAGAAAGUUUGGGAUAAAUGUGUCACGGUUGGCAAAAUUCAUGAUUUUUAAAAUCACAAAAAAAAGUUUGGGGGUAAAUCUGUCACUUUGGACAAAGUUUAGGGUUUUUCGUGAUUUUUUCCAGCCAAGUUUAAGGUCUAAGAUCAGCAUUUUGAUAUCAUUACGAUCAUCUUAUAAGCAGUAAGCAUUCAAGUAGCAUUCAAGUAGCAUUCAAGUUUAAUACAUAAACUUGAUAUUUUAUGUUUGGACAUUGCUAUUACUUUUUUUUUUUUGGUAAGGUAACAUUGCUAUUACUUUUGUCACUAUUUGACUCACAAGAAAUUUAACAUAGGGAAAUUUAACAUAGGAGUGAUAGGACCAUUAGCCCUAAUAACCAUGAUGAGACACUGCAAAUAUUCUUGUGUCAGAGUAUGAGAAACAACAUAAAAAUAAGUCCAAGAAGCCACACUUUUGACCUAUUCCAAAUCACCAGAGAAAUAUCAUAAUUAAUUAAAAGAAAUCCAGAGCUUUGUAAGCACGGUGAAGUAAAGAUCCAGCAUAAGCCUGAAAGACAAAAUUAAGUUUUUUUUGGGUACUUUCAUCCCUAUACUUUCACUUUUUUCUCUCAUUAUGUCCCCAUACCUUAAACUUUUCUAAUCAAUUUAUUUUGCUUUCACAAAUUUCCUAAUCAAGACCCAACCAACCUUAGCUUAUGUAACCGUCAAAUAAUGCCCCAGUACGAUGCGGAUAACUUAUGUGGAUGCCCACGUAGUCAUGUAUGGAAAAAUUUAUCCAAUAUAGACAAUGUCAGAACGUGACAUGGAUAAAAUUUAGUUAAGGUGUAUGCCAAAGUAUAUGUCUAUAUUGGAAAAUUUUUGUUUACGUCACACAACAAUAUCAGUUGACAGUAAUGCCAGCUGGAUUUGGUCGAGUUUUGUGUUAGAGGGAUUUGAUUGGAAAAUUUAUGAAAUUUCAAAGAACUUGUUAGUAAAAUUACGGUAGAGAAAACGUGAAAGUAGAGGAUAAGAAGAAGACUGAUUUCGAAAAACCAACAGCUAAUCCACAGUCAGCAGAAGAAUGCCUUACCUGACAAGAUAAGUAGGUCUACUUUGUACCACGUGAGCAAUGAAUGGAAUGGUUACACUACAUCCUCACAAUUCCACUGGUAUCUGGGUCCAAUCUCAAGGACAUCAAAAGCCAUGAAAAGAUCACAACUGUGAACAUCUCUCUAUGAACUUGUCUCAUCAUAUGCGUCAAGAGGGAAUAAAAUCUUUAAGCCAAACUAGUAGUUGUGAGGAAAAUAUAAUCAGCAAUUAAUGUUGACACAUAAAUUUUGACUACCCAAUUAGUUAUUUAUCGCAUAGAAAAAUUAAAAAAUCGACCUCGUCCCCUAAAAAAAAUAUUAGUUAAAUUACAUAUAGAUAUUAGGAGCAUUUUUCAUUCAUUAAUAGUAAGUCCACAUAUAAUUACAUUUUGAUUGGACUGGUGCAAGGAGAUUUUGAGCGUAAUCGAGUUAAUUGGACUAAGCCCGUGGGAAUGAGAAAUUCAGCCUAAUCCAUUUAUUUCCUUUGCUCGACCAGACAUCAAAUAUGCAGCACAAGGACUUCAGCACGAAUGAAGCAGCAAAUAUUCGUUAUUGAGAAAUAUAUUCUGAACCUUUUUUUGGGAAAAUUAACUGACUAAUUCUUUUCAUUAUUAAAGAUGCACGUCAUGCUUAAAGUAGGCAAGUUAAUUUUUCUUAGUCAAAACUGGAAGUAAUUGAACACUAUUUGAAAGGAAAGAAACAAAAAUAGAAAAAGAAAAAGGAAGAAAACGGGGAAGAAAGAAAGAAAUUCACGGCCCGAGCAUGAUAGACCAGAGAAUAAUGUAUGCACUCACAAGAGGAAAGUGGAAUUCGGCCAGCCCAAAAGGAGUUCUCGCCAAGUAUAAAGAGAUAACACUGCAACACGUAAAAGAGGAGACAAAGGAGGGAGACAAAAUGUUCGAUAAAUUCACGUUCGCAAUUAACGAGAAGUGUGAGCAAUACAUAAAAGAGAACUCAAGUUUUUUCUGUGCCUCGAAAAGCUAGCCCCUACGCAGUAAGUGUGUCUAUGUUUUGACGUUACGAUUGGGAGAAAACAUGUGCGUUCAAUGACAUUGGAGAUUGAUUUACAUGUCUCAAAGUCAUUAGUUGGAAUUAAAAGUGGACUGUAAAUGCAUGUGAAGAUAUUCGAAAAGUACACUUGUAAUAGGUGGAGACGAUAUUUGGGGCACUCAUGAAAAAAAAUGGAUUGAACGGGCCAAAAUAUUUUAGAUAUUUAUAGCAUAAGUUUUGUCAUAUUGAUGCAUUUCGUUAAACAAUUUUUUUAAUCUUGAGGAGAAGCUUCUAUUGCAUUCAUUUAUAGUUUAAGAACUAUAGAUGGACGUAAAUGAUCAACGGCACAUUUUCUAGGGUCGCAUCUUCCACAUAUUUUCAAAUUUCCACACCUUUAAAAAUAUUUUGGAAAAUGAAUGAAAAAUAGGAGGGAAGUUAGGAAUUCAACAUGAAGCGUUAAAAACUAUUAACUUAAGGAGAGAGAUAAAAGUGACUUAAGCAGAGGGUAAAGACCGGAUAAAACAUGAUAUAGCGUAGAGAAAUCUGGUUUGAGAAAAUUAUGUCGGAAGAGAUUAAUUUUCAGAGUUACUUUCCCAGACGAAUCUCUUUUGAUAAAAGUAAUUCGUCCUGCAGGCAUUUGAAUAACGAAAUCCUAUAUACCACGCUUGAUAUGAUUUUGUCAUUGACUCAUGUACAUUGGCAGCGGGAGCAUGCGACUGUCGGUCGUUAGUUUUCUUUUUCUGUUCUGUUUACUAAUAGAAAAGGCAAGCCAAAUCAAGACAAUGCUGCAGGAUCUCAAAUCUGAAUGAACGCACCUGCAUGCACCUCCCUUGUAUGAAGCUGAGAAUCGGUGGAAAUCACAGCUGGAGCACGUGAGUAUUGCUCCUUAGCUUUCUUUUCCAUUUUCUUUCGUUAAUAUAAAAGUCUAUUUACUUUCAUUAAUAUGAACGGCAAGCCGUGCGGGAUCUCGACUUUUGACCAAAGCACCGGGAGCAAGUGAGUGUUGCACGUGAUUGCAUGUGCGCACGUGAGUAUUUAUUUUGGCUCUUUCGGUUCCGCGCUCCUUCCACUAAAUGCUGCGGAAACUAUGCAUGCAAAGAUUGUUCUUUCAGCGGCAUGCCUCGCAGUGGUUCGAUUAGCACGAAGAGUCUUGGACCGUUGGAUGGCAAGAACUCAGCAUUAUGUGAUUUGCACAAAUAGCCCCGGUCAAUCUUUCUAUGCUUCAACAAUUUUUUUCUAAAUAAUUUGACAACCCAUUCAUAUAUAUAUAUAUUUCCAGAUGCAGAGAAACCCUACCUACUUAGACAAAUUUCCAUUGUAUCAUUCUAAUAAUGGAAGUUUGGUUCAUUCACUCUGAAUAUUUUUCCUUCCAUGCAAGUAAAAGUCUAAGACCUUACUAAUUUCAUCAUUGCUACUUUGAACAAACGUUUCUCUUUUCUCUGGAUAAAUUUCUUUUGCCUCGAUUAUAUCCUGGAUUCCAACUAUUUUUUUUUUUUUUAAAGGAGGGAAUUAUCCAUGGAGGACGCACACUAAUUUGUAGAGGCACCAUUAGGAGAAAAGAAUAAACUUUAUGAUGUGAAAAAAAUUACAUUUUAUAUUCUUCCCUAAAUUUUAAUUUGUUUUCUCUUUGCUAUUUAAUCUUUAUUAUAUGUAUACUUGUUUAUUUCUUCCAUAACGAAACAUAUAGCUGCUAAUCUAUCAUCCUUGUGAGACACAAUGCCCACUAUUUUAUCACGUCUCAUUUUUUUUCAUCUGUAAUUUGAGGUAGUACAUUGUUAAGAGACGAAGGAAAACGAAAGGCCCAUGUGUACUCUACUAUCGGUAGAAUAUAUUUUCCACGCCCCGAUUUUACAAUCAAGACGUGCUGCACCCCAAUUUUCAAUCAAAGCACGUUGCAUAAGUAGGAUCCACACACCUUCCGCAUAAUGCUGCAGAAAUUAAUUAUUAUCGAACAACCUUUUCUUUCAUUUUAAGUCCUUAAAAUGGUCCAUAUUUGAAAUACAGUACUCGAAAUUUCGGUAAUUAUUUUUCAGUUUUUUCUAAACGGGCUCAUACUCGCAGCUGAUUUUUCACAAAUGAAUUUAAGUUCAGCAUCAGCAAAAAGACAAGUUGAGUCAAGUGGAAAGUUGAGUUAUAGCACCCAAGGUUUGACUUGAAAUUACCUAUGUAAUCAUUUACUUUAAGCCGUUAGAGUACAGUGUUGAAUAUAAUUUACAUCAUAGCAAUUUAUUUGGUUCGACUUCUAGCUUUUUGUUAACGACGAACACAAAUCAGAUACGUAAUUCACAGGUCAACAAAUUCUCCACUAAUGCAAAGUAUCAAGCUAGACACAAGUCUCAUAUACGAAACAGUUUAUGCUUGCAAAUAUGGCGGACCAAACACACGUUGUGUACCUAGUCUCCAUCUACUAAUUUUUACUUUCUAUUCCCUUGCGACUCUCAUAGUCAAACUUUUUUUUUUUUAUAACAAAGAUCACUUAAAAGAUUCAAAAUAUGCAAAUACUAUCACGUAGAUAAUUAUAUAAUUAUAUUUUUAAUUUAACUUAAAGAAUAUACAUAUUUUAAAUCUUUCAAAUGUAAAAAAUCAAUUAUACUUUUAAGUGCAGUCUAAAUUUUUAUCGAAGGGUUGCAUACCAAAAUUAUCUUUUAUUUUGAAAGAAGUAAAGCACCUCAUUAGUCAUUAGAGAAAAAGGCCAAAGCAUGGAGCCACCUCAGCUAGCGCUGUCGGGGACCCGUCUCCUUUUUCAAAAGCCAAAAGAAAUUGCCCCGAACGUCAAACCCGCCCACUCGCCUCGGUCAGGGAGAGCACGGAAACUCGCUCGGACCGCGCGCCACGUGAGCUCGAGGGGGGCAAUUCGGUACAUUCCGAGUGGCCGAAGAUAUCCUCGAGAUGCGAGGUGGGGACCACACAUUGGCUUUGGUUUCUGAGCAGCUGACCGGCGUAGCGGUCGAGCAACGCGAACACGGAGAGGAGGAGCGGCGUGGGUCCGCGUGAAGAGACAACCUAAGCAGAAUCUUUUUUUUUGGUCGAAGCCUAAGCAGAAUCCACACGGCAAAUUUCUACUCUGUUUUCGUGGAUAAAAGGGUCUCGAACAGUUGGACGGCAAUAACUCAGCAUCGUUCGAGCAAGCGCGGGAGAGAGUGUUAAGCGUAGUUAAUCCGAGGUUGAAGGCUGAGAACCGGCAGAGUUCACAGCAGUAGGUGAAUUGUGUUGUUUGAGCACUCUUCAGGUAAUCGAUUGCUCCAUUUUCUUUUGAUGAGUUUCGAUUUGAGUUCUUGGAGACAUUUUUGCAUUCCGAGAUUUGGACUGUGAAAUCUAGACUUUUUUUCUUCAAGGCUCUGCUCGAUCGAUGUCCUAUUUGGUCAAUUAGACUUCAUUUCUGUUUGAAUUUAGCUACGAAAUGAGCUCUGACAGACAUUUCGGCAAUUCCCGAAUCCGGGAUUCCGUAUUUCUCUUUGUUUUCUGCUUUUCUUCGAGGCUCUGCUCCAUCGAUCUCUUCCAUUCCCUUUAUAGGUGAUUACAAAGGCGGAGCCUAAAAGAUUCGAUAUGUGGGGACAUUCAGAAGAUCCGAAUUGUGGGGCUUCUUCCUCAUCGACUUCACCGCAUGUAGGUGAUUAUGAAGGCAGAACCAAAAAGAUGAAAAGAAAUGACUACGAAGUGUUCUUGAGCUUUAGAGGGAAGGAUACUCGUAAUGGCUUCACCGAUUAUCUAUAUACUAGUCUUGUUGAUGCAGGAAUUCAUGUGUUCAGAGAUGACAAUGAGCUUUGUGUUGGUGAGGAGAUUGGACCGGAACUUUUCCGCAGUAUUACACAAUCUAAGAUCUCCAUCCCGAUUAUCUCAGAGGACUAUGCAUCCAGCAAAUGGUGCCUUCGCGAGUUGGCUCUUAUGUUGAAUUGCAAGAGAAACAAAGGGCAAAUGGUGUUACCCAUAUUUUACAAAGUGGAACCUUGGCAAGUGAAGCAUCUCACAGGGAGAUUUGGAGAUGCUAUCAAUACACAUAAAAAGAAUUUGGAAGAAAAGAUUGUGAAGGAAUGGGAAGAAGCACUCAAAGAAGUCACUUCCUUGAAAGGAUUGGAAUCGGAGAAAAUUGAUAAUGGGUACAUUAUUCUCCACCACAACAUUGUUUACUUUCUCAUAACUAGAUCUUACUUGAAAAAUAAUACAAAUAUUUCCAUCAUAUAUUGAAAUUUUUAUUGUUGUUCGACAGGCGUGAAGGAACAUUGGUUAAAAUAGUUGUCAGAAAAGUUAUGAGUAACUUAAAGGAAUUGUUUUUGCUAAAUGUUCCCAAACAGUUGGUGGGAAUUGAUGAUCGUGUGGAGCGUAUUAUGCACUUCAUAAAUGCUAAAUUUAGUGAUACAAGUAUUAUCGGAAUCUAUGGAAUGGGCGGCAUCGGUAAGACAACCCUUGCGAAGGUGUUGUACAACAAGCUUUUGAGUCAUUAUGAGUCUCAUAGCUUUGUGGCAGAUAUUCGAGAAAAAUUUAAGCUCAAGGGUCUUGAAUGCAUACAAAAGCAGCUCAUUUAUGACAUUAGUGGAGGCUUAUGUGAUGUGUCUAAUGUCGAUCACGGAAUCAAUAUCCUUAAAUCUCGAUGUAUAAAUAAGAAAGUUCUCAUUCUUCUUGAUGACAUGGAUGAUAAUACUCCCUUGAAUGCUUUGGUUGAAGACGGUAGUUGGUUUAAAGCUGGAAGUACGGUCAUCAUCACCACUAGAGACAAGAGUAUUCUUGACAAGGUUGGGGUAAGAUACAAGUAUCAACUCAAUGAGUUGCUUUCAUAUCAAUCAUUGGUUUUAUUUAGCAGACAUGCAUUUCGAACGGAUUCUCCUCCGAGUGAUUAUUGGGUUAUCUCUCGUGAUAUCGUAUCUACUACUGGGGGGCUUCCUUUAGCUCUUGAAGUUAUUGGUUCAUUCUUAUGUGGAAAGACAAAAGAAGCAUGGAAAGCUACAUCAAAAAAAUUAGAGAAAGUGCCUAAUAAGAAAGUGCAAGAGAAGUUGAGAAUAAGUUACGACGCAUUAGAUUUUGAGGACCAGCAGAUUUUUUUGGAUAUUGCAUGUUUUUUUGUCGGAUCAUCUAUACAAAAUCCGACUUACAUGUGGGAUGCCUGUGGUUUUUUCCCGGGAAAGGGGAUUGAAGUAUUGAAUCUUAUGUCCCUAAUUAAAAUUACUGAUGAUGGCGAGCUAAUGAUGCAUGAUCAGCUGAGAGAUCUUGGAAGGGAAAUUGUUCGUCAAGAAAAUCUAAAGAAGCCUCAAAAGCGUAGCAGAUUGUGGGAAUAUGAGGAUGGCGUAGAUGUGCUUCUCAGCAACAAGGUAAGAGUUUUUCUCCGCUUGUCUUAAUCAUCGAAUGUGAGCACAUCUUCUCUUUCUUGUUUAAGAUAAUAAUUAUAGUCAAUCACGAGUCCCCAAAACUGGCUGCGUCUACUGGCAAGAGGGCACUUUUAAUUAAUUGCUCUUCUUGUCGGACUUUAGGACAAAAUUGAAGAGCAAUUUCUUGGUUAUUAAUAACUAAUAUUUUUAACUAGUAAGAUUGUGAUGAGGAUACUCUCCUUUUGCUAGCUUCAAUAAAAAAACAAAGCUACAAAUUAAUGUUCGAUAGAGCACUUUUAAAGAAAAUCGAAUAUCUAUAAAUUGUUGGGGCCAUGCUUUCCCACAUUUUUGUUUGGUGCACAGGUUGAUGUUUGAAUUCUUAUAUUGAUUUCUUUUGAGGUAUUUUCUUUCUUUUUUCUUUUAACGAGUACCGACUUCUUAAGAGUUUGCUACGAUGAAUGAGACCAUUCAUUAGUGAUGAUUAGCUAUCCCGAUUCUUGAAUUUUUCAAGUUGGGUAAAGUAUAGAUUUAGUCCCUCAAGUAAUACUAUUUGUAAGAUUUAAUCCCCUUUCUAUUUUUUGCUCAAUACCAUUCUCCAUCUUUCACAGUUUGUGCGAUCAAGUCCUUUGUAGUCAACCGUUAAUGAACAUGGUCAAUUUGUUGAUGUGACUUUCAUAUACUAUAAAUAAUAUGGUUAUAAUUAAUAUAAAUCCUAGUUAUAAUUAGAAAUCUAACAUUAAUAGAGUGACUUGGAAAAAAAGACAUGAAUUUUGGGAAUAACUAUUACUACAAGUAAAUAUUGUAAUAGACUAUAAUAGCCAUUACGGUAAUGAAACGUGCUCUAAUAAUCUAAAUGCAUGUAAUAAUACAUUGCUACAUAAUGUGUAUGUAACUAAGGGUUAGUAAAUGUGUACAACUAAACGGUAUAUAUUAUGCGGUAAGAUAUUUAGUUCAAAGUAAGACGUUAGGAAAAAAAAAGUAGAAAUUUUCCAAUAAACGGUAUAUAUUAUGUAUUCCCAAAAAAAUAUAUAUUAAUAAAGAUAUGUUCUCAAUACCAUAAUUAUAAAAAUUUUAAUGUUGAAGUAUUAUCUAAACUAAAUUUUUUGACAUGAUACUUGUUAAACUUGGAAGUUAAAUAUUUCAACCAUACAUACAUGACCUUUUUCUUUAUAUAGAGGAUGAGUGAUGAAGUGACUUUUCAGUUACAACAUUUUUAAAUAUUUAUAGAAGAAUGAUAAUUAAUAAUAAAACUAAACAAUUUCACAACUGUAUGUUGGCACAGAAGUGAUAUUAACAUAAUAUAAUUAUUCUUCAUGUCCAAUCUAUCUCUUAGCAAGAUCUUAUUAAUUUAUGGGCAAAAUUGAUCAUAAAAUUAGAUGACUGUUAUUUCUUUGUAACAAAAUCAACAUGAAAUGAAAAGUUAGCAUCAAACAUAUAUAGUAAUAAAAAGAGAAGUGAAAAUCAUGCAUAUAACUUGUUGAGGAAACACAUGAUAAGAAAGGAAUGCAAAACAUCUGUGUACUUCUUGGGAUGGAAUUCUCAUUUUCAUUUUGCUAUCGAGAAUUGUAAACAAGGUACGAAAGAAAAAGAGGGGAAUUCUACAAUUGAGAUUCUUUAGUAUUGAUACAUGCUUUGACGGUAAAUUUGAUAUAUGCAUUUGAAGUUUUGAACUGUAAGAGACAUGUUGUUUCACAUAUAAAGGAUAUGAGUUAGUUUGUUAUUUCCCAUAUAAAGGGCAUGGAAUUUUGAAGUGAUGUUUGCAUGAAAAGAGGCCUUCUAUAUUAAUUUUGAAAGGAUGGGACUUUGGGGAAUUUAAAAGCUGCAAAUUGUGAAGGGAAUAAUUGGAAGAGGAAAAGUUUGGGAAGACCCUCUUGAGGUUCACAUUUUUACAUUGAUUACCACAACCUGUCAUGUCAUGAAGUCGAAAGUGAGAAGCUUAAAUCAUGAUAGUACGACAACAAAUUUGAAAUCAAUACAUUUUUUCUCAUAUAUAGUUGCUUUCAACCCAUUAUUCAAAACAACAAUUUACAAUGUUGCCUAAUUGCAGGGCACUAGUAAAAUUGAGGCCCUUCGUCUUGACUUAGAUAAUGGGAAAGGAAGUUACAUGGCUGAAACAUUUAAAGAAUUGACCAAAUUGAGGAUACUUCAACUGGAAGGUGUGAAUCUCACUGGACAUUUUCAGAACUUGUUUCCUCAACUAAGAUUGCUUGAGUGGAUGGAUCAUCAACCGGAUUUUGAAUUGACCAACUUUCACCUGAAGAAAUUAGUCGUGCUCGAUUUGUCGUGGAGCAAGAUUUCAGAGAACUGGGGAGGAUGGAGUCAACUAAAGGUAAAAUGUAAAGAAGGCAUAUGUCUUAUAAAUAAUCACGUGUUGUCGAUGGACCCAAUUGCACCAAGUUAUACUUAAUUUCUUCUGAAAAUAUAUAUUAUGGAUUUUCUUCUAAGCAUAAGAGGAAUUCAUAGGCACCUAAAUAUGUCAAAAGCUUCUACCCCUUAAUAUUUUAGCAAACUAGUCAUGCUUAACAUCAGACCUACUAAUAAAAACUUUUUAAAUCGUAUUAAUUAACAUCUAUCAAAAAUAUAAUUACAAUAAUGUGCCCAUGUUAAUUUUAAUCUAAAUGGUUUAUGGCUUCUAGUUAAUUUCUCCCCAUGCAAAAGUAUGUAUUUUUAGCAAUUCUUGUUAUAUGUAUGUAUGUAUCUUCUUUCAUAAAAAUGCAAAGACCCUCACAGUGACUUGUGUUUUACAUACAUACUAAAAUUCUAAAUUCAUUGUUACUUUUAAAGUAAUGGAAAUAAUUUGUGAACUACUUUGACUUGUUGCGCACAAUAAUUAUUCAUUAUUAUUGUUGAUUGUUGAAGUCACCGUAUAACACAUUUAUAAAGUACUAAUGUCAUAUGAGUAAUACAACACUUUUUUAUGUCUCGUACAUAUAGCAUUUAAAAAUUGUUUUUCAUAAUUAAAGUAGCCAUUUCUCUUUAAUUUCAUACUAAUUGAAGGAAAACAUGGCACCAAAUGAAUGCAUCUCAUUUCUUCCAUUUGACUUUGUCAUAUGUAAUUUGAUAAUAAAAUUUGUGUAUCUCUAUUCAAUAAAUAACAACAUAGUCAUAACUUUGAAAAACUAAACAUGACAUUUUCUAAGAAAUUUUAUUUGCGAAAAAUUGUAGAUAGCACUCAUACAUCCCUAACAUUCUCUUUGCAAUGAUAUGCUUAAAAACAUUUAUAUGCUAGCUUGGCGAAUACACUAUUGAAAAGAAACAUUUAAAAUUAAAUUAAAUAGCUGUGUAAAAAUAGGGAGAAUGGGAUUAUUUUUUUUGUCCAAUCUCAAAGUGGUAACCUCUUUCUUUCAGAUAGCAACCGAGCUCAAGGUUCUCAACCUUACGAAUUGUGCUUUAAGAACAACUCCCGACUUGUCCGCUUUCAAGAGUUUGGAGAUUUUGAUACUUGAAGCUUGUGAGGAUCUAGAAGAGAUUCAUCCUUCUAUCGAGGACAUCGAGACCCUUGUCUCCUUGAAUGUCAGUAAUUGUUGGGAGCUGAAGAAGCUACCACUAGGAGUAGGUAGAAUGGAAAAUUUGAGCAAGCUUCUCAUAGAUAACACUAAUAUACGAGAGAUUCCUAUUUCAAGAGGUUGUUUGACAAAGCUGGAGACUCUACAUGCCUCAGAUUGUAGACGGCUUGCUCAACUUCCAGAAUCCUGGGGCUCCCUUAUGUCAUUAACUCAACUAGACCUAAAAAGAACAGAAAUUGAGGAAUUACCCGAAUCCAUUGGAUCAUUAAAGAAGCUCAAGACUCUAAAUACCUCUUAUUGUGCAUUGUUA
This 84259-nucleotide long non-coding RNA is filed under the name Eucalyptus grandis. RNAcentral's name for it is "long non-coding RNA (EGRA_LNC001423)". Lineage: Eukaryota; Viridiplantae; Streptophyta; Magnoliopsida; Myrtales; Myrtaceae. The record is from RNAcentral.